Molecule: long non-coding RNA, 70274 nt
Filed under: Aquilegia coerulea
Lineage: Eukaryota; Viridiplantae; Streptophyta; Magnoliopsida; Ranunculales; Ranunculaceae
Description: long non-coding RNA (ACOE_LNC000217)
Source: RNAcentral
GCGUAUGUCUCCCAUCACAACACCUUAAAUCAUCUUAAAUAAUCGCAUGUAGUUUAGCACAAUACUAAAUCAGUAAAUAAUUGUAGUUUUAUUCUUUGAUUGCAGAUUCUAUGAGGGAUCUGAGAUGGGAGUAGGAGCAGAAGGUGGAUGCAAGUGCGGAGACAAGUGCACCUGUGACCCUUGCAGCUGCAAAUGAAAAUCAAUGGAAUAACGGAUAGAGAUGUGUACUGAUCUCAGCUAAAAUAAUUUAUCUAUCUAUCUAUCUAUCUAUCUAUGUUUGUGUGGUGUCUCUAGCUUGAAGCUGUAAGGAUUCUCUUUGAGUGAAUGAAGCUUUAAGAAUAAAGUGGACAUGGCUUCAGCAGUACUUGUUGCUGUUUCCAUGGCUACUUGGUGUCUUUGUUUAACUAUUUCCUUGUAAUACCAGGAAAAAAAAAAUCAAUAUGAAGUAAGAUAUGCUGGUUUCUAUAUCUAUUACUACUUUGGAGUAUUUGCUGUGUUUUGUUUUCUGUGGUAAUUUGGAUAUUUGCGACAAUAAUUAUCUUUUCUGUGAAUUCAUACUUUCCGAGACCAGUAUUAAAGCUAGCAAACCAGAUUAACCCUUUUAACAUCAUAUCCAUGGGACUUCAAAUGAUUGUUCAAACAGACAUCCUAGUAUCCUACUGGUGUCCCUUCUAUUAGCUAAUGAUCUUGAACAUCACAUUUUCAUAUGUAAAUCACAUGAGCCCUGUACAAUGCAAGGUCGUAAAUUGCUAUUAACAACCCAACAUUUUCCCUAUUGACCAUCUUAACACCUAAAUUAUUGAUAGGUUUUUUAUUCAUUUUAUCAAUCCCUUACUGUGCAACUUCUUUGAAAGGCUCCUGAACUUGAACUACAUUUAUGAAAAAAUAAUUGAUGUCCAUGGCUUGAUCAGUGUGGUGGUGAAUAGCAAAAAACUUGGUUUUUAAUAACAAGAGUCCAGUGCAAUGUUGAAAAAGGAAAGGAAGAUCAUUGUCGUUCUCUCAUCUUUUAGUCUAAAGCAACUACACAGCAAGAGUAUGGAGACCUGGAGAGAGUUGAGGGACCAGUGGUACCACUUUAAAGAUAAAAACGAAAGUGUCGAAGGACUAGAUUUUGGUGGGGUUAAGCUUUCAUAUAUAUUUCAUUUCCUUUCUCUUGUAUAUCUAGUUAUCUGGAAAAUUAAUCAAACUAGCUUUAUUAGUUAUGGGCUUAUGGUCCUCAAUGCGUGCUACCUCUUUAGAGCAAUCCAAAUGGGAGGGAAGAAAAUUGCCCUUGUAAGGUAAACCACCCUCGAAAUCACCUUUUGUACAUGGUAGUCAAAACCCUCACCAAAGUUGAGCUAAUGGGAAAAUUUAGCAAUGUCAGAUUACAUGAUUAAAUGGGUUUAUAAGACGGAACUCUAUAUUCCAGUACUAUAUAUUAUUUUAAGACGUAACUCUGUAUUCCGAUUAUAAUCAUAAGACAGAAGGUUAUAUUCCGGUUUUGAAUUUUACAGAAAUCUAAAUUCUUUACUAAAAAUCUAACCCAUAUGUAUACUAUUAGACGAAACUUAGGUUUCGAUAAAAUUGAAGUUGGUAUGAGACGGAACUAAAAGUUCCAUCAAAUUUGGGUUUAUAAGACGAAACUUCAUUUUUCAAAUCAUAAAAAGUGAAUAAUUCGGAAUUGGUACUUCGGAAAAGUGCUUUAAACAGAAUAUUGUAUUCCGUCUUAUACUAUUACUAUGUCAUUUUAGAUGGCAUUUUCUUCCCCUCUAAAAUGACAUUGAAGUUUUUACUGCCCGUUGAAUAUUUGACCCACCUUCCAUUUUUUUUGCUAAGUUAUAUAUCAAUAAAAGGGAACUUGAGUACAAAAACUAAGGGUGGGAGGUAUUAAUCUACCUUUCACCAAUAACUAGAGCAUACAAGGAAACUAUUUUGGGCUAGAAUUAAGAGCACAAAGCUCUUCUUCACCUUGCUAGUGGGGACUUCGUACCGAUUUUUUACUUUUAGCAUAAAUUGCAUGAUCGCUUUCAACGCUGACAGUAUGGCUUUGAUUGGCAAAACUUCUUGCACAAUAAUGUCACCAUCAUAUAGUCCUUUUAGCCAAUGGCUGACUAUGGCUCUUCAUAUAGUCCUUUCUGCUUCAGAAAUCAAUUGUUCUUGGGCAGGAGUCUUUGACACCAAGUCUAGUUCUCCCUCUAGAGCUGUGAUAGAAUUGGGGGUCUCUAAAAUGGAAUGCCGACAUUUGUAGGACUUGUAUUCCUAGGGCUUCAUUCUCUUCGUGUAGCUGAAUUAUGGACAAGAGUUUUUGGAAAUGAAUCCAACUUACCUUCUAGUACAUUGAAAGAAUUGGUUAAGGUUAAAUGGUUCCUGGAGUUCUACCAUUUAUAGGACUAGCAUUCCGCUAUGUUCUCUGCUCUUGUGUUGCUGAAACAUUAAUUUGAAGAGUUCCAUUUUUGUUGUGGCUCAUUUGUAGAAAUUGUAUCUUCUCUUGUCAUAAACUGUUGGUUAGCUUGAUUGGUAGUAGAGUCUUUUGUACCACUUGUACUUGCUCCACUUUUGUUUACUUCUUCAAAGUUCUUCUGUUGUAUUAUCAAAGUUGCAACAACUUCUUCUCUUUGUGACCCAAUCUUGUUUUUUUUCACCCUCCAAGGCUACUGGUGUAGGUGUUCAUAAUAGAUGACGAAUCCCCCUUUGGCCUUUUCUUAUUUCUUUUUGCAACCCCUUACAUUCACCUUAUGAAUGACCAAUGGCUUGGCAGUGAUGAUAAAAUUUUGGCAACACUGGGUACACCACAUCUUGAAGGAAUUCCUUACCAUCAUCUACUUCCACCAAGAUUUGAUUUGGUAGAGGUUUGGAUAAAUCGUACCAAAUCAAUCAACACAUUGGCAUAGUAGCCAAAUUUCCGUUCCACGGUGAAUUUGUCGACCCAAUUGGGCAGCAACCUCCUUUGGGUAUGGGCAUAAUGUUGGUUUUUGAGGUUAUAUUUAAAAAUUCCUAAAUGGAGUGUGGCCUAGUGGUAGUGAGUUUGGACUCCCCACAUGAGGUGUGGGGUUCAAACCCAUGCCAAUGCAUAGAUAAUAUAUGAUCGGGCCUUAGGGCUCUUUUGGUCUCAGUUUUAGGGAUAAAAUCGGAAAUGUAACAUUGGCCUAGUUAAGAAACCACUUAUAAAAAGGCCCAACAAAAAUGUGACUCGAUCAAAUUUUUCUUUUUUGACGAAAAUACCAACAGAGCCCAUUUCAUGUCCAAAACCCUCUUUCUUUUCGGAAAAAAAAAAAAAAAAAAACUUCUCAAACCAACUGUGUUGACCCCCCUUAACGGGCUCAAGCCCAAGUCAAUUACACGUCAAAGCCCAAGACUUUAGUCAAUAAGGGCCUAAGCCCAAUUCAAUUAGUAAUAAGGCUUAGGCCCGUUACUACAUUCAAUAUCAAUCAUGGGCUUUAUCUAUUUAAGUCCAUUAUAUUCAAUAAGGUUAAUAUGGUAAUUCUACAUCUUUGUAGAGAUUUUCUUAACCUAAUCGAAGUACAACUCAAUAUCUCUACAACUCCUAAUCCAAUAACAAUUUCAAUAUCUUUACAACUCAUGUUCCUAAUAGGACAUGAAGUACAUUAUCUUGUCAUUAUAUGGUCCAAAUACAUGGGACUACAAUACUACAAUACAUUAGGGAUCAUGGGAUCACAUCCUAAUCCCAAUCAAACCCUACAUUUGAACUACGUUAUAAAAGGCUUGAUUCCAUCUCUCUUAUGGAUACGUAGGCAACUAAGAAACAACUUAGUGCAGCCAUUAUCAAUCACUAAAACCCUAUUCCUUCAUCUCCAUCUUCUCUAAUACCUUAAAUCUUAACAUUAGGGGUUUCUUCUUGAUCUUACAUCACAUCGGUGUGAAAUCCGGUUGAAACACUAACUCUUUGCGAAAACAAUUUUUUCACUUUCUCGAUCGAAAUCACCAUUACAAAUCUUUAAAGAAGAAAAACGUCGUGAAUCACUUUGUAGAGAUGAAGUUCGUAUUAAGUAAGUAAUUUAAUUCAACAUUAAUCAAACUAUUUGAUUAAUUUCAUUUUCUAGGGUUUUUUUUUUUUUUUUCGAUUUUUGAAAACGACGGUAUGAAUUCUUUGCUAUGGUUGGAUUAUGAUGAUAUUUUGAAGUGAUUGUGAUUGUAUCUUUUCUACAAAUAGUUCUUUGCCUUCAACUAUUUGAUAAAAAAAGCAUUGUAAUUCAUUAUGCAUUGAGAUAUUUUAAAGCUGUGUAUGUAUUUUGGUUGUUUGAGACUUGUGCAGAAUCCUAUUUGCAAUUGUGGUAGAGAGCUUUUGGUAUUCGUAAUUCGUUUUACAUUGAACUAUUUGCAAGUUGAGUUUUUUUUAUUGCAGUGCAAAAAACUCAUUGGAAAAUUAGAAAAUUUGUGUUAGUUUUUUGUCUUUGAAUGGGCAUGAUCUUUUUUUGUUAAUCAUAGUUUAUUUUCAUCAAAGGUGUAUAGAAAAAAUAUACUUUUAUUGCAUUUCAUAAGAAAGAAGGGAAAGAAAAAGUUAAUGAAGAAGCUUAAAGUUGUAUUCAUGUGGUGUUAUUGUUCCCACAUAUGGUAGUUGCUAAGUGCCAAUGUGUUUAGGUCAUUAUGUAGGUUAUGUUAUUGGUAAAAAAAAGCUUGUAUUCACUAAGCAUUUUCGAAGUAGUUUUUGAUCUCCAAUUGGAAAAUAUGAGAGUGAGAGAUUGAAACUGAAGUGUCUGGCAAUUUUGAAAUCUUGGAUGUAUAAUGAGAUUUCUAAACAUAAUUUAGUAUUAUCAACCAAAGAGAACUGGCGUAGCUAAAACUUGACAGUUAAGCCAUGCACAUCAUGUCCUCACCCGUUACCACUAAUUACUAAUUAAAAAACAUUGUUGAAUUCAUGUAAGUGAUGAGCUGUUUUGUUUGAGUCCAUUGUAAAGAACUCGUUGCAUAUAUGACAACAAGUUCUUUGCAUUAAAUGCUUGUAUUUAAUUUAACAGAAAGAAGUUUUGAUUUUUUUUUCGUGUUAUUGUAGGAAAAGAAUGUCAGAUUCAAGUGAAGAUGAUAGUUGGGCAAAAACAUAAUUUAGUAUUAUCAACCAAUUAGAAUUGGAGUAGCUAAAACUUGACAGUUAAGCCAUGCACAUCAUGUCCUCACCCGACAACACUAUCUAAGUAAAAAACAUUGUUGAAUUCAUGUAAGUAAUGAACUGUUUUGUUUGAGUCCAUUGUUAAGAACCCUUUGCAAAUAUGGCAGCAAGUUUUUUUUGCAUUAAAUACUUAUAUUUAAUUUAGCAGAAAGAAGUUUUGAAUUAUUUUUUUCGUGUUAUUGCAGGAAAAGAAUGUCAGAUUCAAGUAAAGAUGACAGUUUUACUAGAAACACAAGUGGAGGAAGGUAGUUUGACUAGUUUAGUGGAUAAAACUACAAGCAAUAUUCUUAAAUCGUGAAGAACAUUUUCAGGAAGAGGAAAAAAGUGAUAACUCAUCUGAAGAUGUUGAAUCAUAUAAAGUAAAUAGAAAUGGGAGUAUAGAAGAAGAAAAUGUAGAGUUAGACGAAGAAAGAGAAAGUGAUAAAGAGAUUGAAAUGGAGCAAGAUACUAGGAAACAAAAGAAUCCCCAAUUUGAUACCAAGAUACACCCUUCUCCAAGGUUGAAACAAGCCAAGAUAGUUACAAAGGAUAAUGGAAAUAGAAUACUUUCAAAGGCAACAACAAAAGGUCAAAAGGAUAAAAAUACAAUAAAGACAAAGAAUGACAAGGUAACAGUUAUUAUGUUAUGUUGGAGCUCUUUGCAUUUUUUUUUCUUUCACUUGCUGGUGUAUGAUGCAUUGGAUGCAUGUUGCUUUUGGUUUUUUUUAUAAGCAUAAUAACAUUAUCAAUAAAUAAUAAGGAUCAUGAAUCACGUAAUUAAUCACUAACAAAUACACAUACCUUUGUCUAUAGCCAUUGAUGAUCCAAGAAGCUGCACAAGAUCUAGGUUUCACUCUUCUUGCCUUUUAAACCCUAAUAUGUAUUGUAAUAGUAAGUAUAUGAGGAUGGAGAUCAUACACCAAUUUAUAGAGGUGGAGAGAGGACCUAAAUCUACAAACCUAACCCCAUUAGAUCUAGACCGUCCAUCAUAGAUAAAAUCUACAGUAGAUAUGACUUCCAGAUAACCUAUAUUACUAAUUAGCUUAUUUCUAUAUUAAACCAAGGUUAAAGGUACAUGGACCACAUUAUGGGUUGGGCUUUAUAUGUGGAAAUUCCAACAGUCUCCGACUUGGUCCAUAGUAAAAUCUCACAUACGGUUUAAUGUAGAAUACCUAAGGCGCGCAAUAAGAGCUAGAUUAGUUUCCGAAAUGGUUAUCAUAAUACCGUCAUUAAUUAAACCAUUAAUAUGAGUCAUGGCGGUUCCACAUCUCAUAAAUGACAUUGUUCCUUCCAUGUACUAUGACAUCAACAAUUUAAUUAACUAGGUCUAUAAGCGGAAGUAACAAUAAUGGUCCAGUAAUGUCUUCGUAAAAGACAAUUUCUGUCAAUUAUCCAUUCACAUACAUGUACAUAAACAAUGGAAAACAGAAAAUUCAGAACUUAAUCAAUAAUAUGAGCUCAAAAUAAUGUCAAAUAAUAAGCACUAAGUAAUCCACAAAAUCAUUAAGUUAUGGGUUACAUUCAAAACCCAACUUGUUAAUCAUGAUGCUAGAAUAUCAUUAUUUCUAACUCUUAAGUUAGUGGAUUUACUAACACGUGUACUAAUGUGUUCCAUUGACACUCACUUGUUCUAAACUGAAGUCAUAAUCAAUAGGUAUUUUAUAUCAUGUGCUAAACAUUAGAAUACCUAUCAUUCUUCCAAAGGCAUAUAGUUGCAACAUUAUUACAAUAAAAUUCAAACUACUUAGAAAUCAAUAACUCUAAGUUAUGAUAUAAAGUUUUGCAACUAUACAACAUUGCAUGUAGUUUUACAACAUGCUACAAAUUCGGCUUCUAUGGUGGGUGAAACAAUAAUGUUUUACCGACUAUCCACACACCCAUUAAAUUCCGAAUUUGUAAAACCAAUCACCACAAGGUGAUUAGAUCUCUUAAAAUAUGAGCAUAAAGUUUCUCUUUCAUUCGUUCUUGUUCCAAUUCAUUAGUAGGAUCUUGAUUUAAUUCAAAUAUUCCCCCUCUGAAUUGGAACAUCAUUACAAUUAUGCCUUAACACAUUAAAUCUAUCCAAAACUUUAUUAAUGAAAUCUUUCUGAGACGUUCCAACAAUUAUUGUGAUCAAUCCCGAAAUAUUUGUAUUUCUAUCACAUAUGACGCAUCACCAUAACUUUCAUUGCAAAGUUUUUAGACACAUAAAAAAUGUUUACAUAAACGAAAAUCACUGCUGCGAAACAAUAAAUCAUCAACAUACAUAUCCAAAAUAAUAAACUUACUCCCACUGAACUUUGGGUAUCUACAUUAAACCCAAAGGUAUGAUACUAUUAAUCAUUAGGUACCAUUUUUGAGAAGCUUGUUUUAAGUCUGUAUAUUGACUUCUUUAACAAACAAACCAUGUGUUCUUGUCCUUCUUUUAUGAAGUUGUGUAGUUAAUUAAACCACGUAGACUUCAUCCAAACUUUCAUUUAAAAUACCAUUUUCACAUCUAUUUGGUGUAACUCUAAAUCGAAAUGUGCCACCAAUGCCAUAAUAAUUCUAAGAUAAUAUUUCUUUAACACAUGAGUAAAGGUUUCACGAGAAAGUAAUGCUACCAUGCCAUAUUGAGUAAAAUAUUUGGAUACAAGUAUCGUUUUAUGGAAUUCAAUAGAACAUUUUGAGUCAAUUCUACUAAUCCAGACUUAGUUAAAAUCCACACUUAAUUUAUCUCUUCAUUCAUGGCAUGAAUUUUUUUAUCAGAAUUACUAUAAGUAAUGGCUUGUGAAAAUGUAACUGGAUCAUUAAGAUCAAAUUCUUGUAAAUACAACACGUUGUCAUCCGAAAUAGCUAGUCGUGAUCUUUAAGAUCUUUUUAAUGCUACUUCUUGUGUGUGUUUACAUUCAGUUCAAUGGCAUUAAUUUCAUUAAGUGGUUGAGGAUCAACUUGUUGUUUACUGUUGUUAAGCGGUGCAACAACAUGAGGGUCAAGAGAAGUAACAAUAAUAUCAUUACAAAAUCGAGGUAACAAAAUUGGUACCCUAAUUUCUUUAAUGAUUACCUCUUUGAUAUGAUCACUCCCACUUAUUUUGUCAUUCAUAACGAAUCAAUAAUUUCCAGUUUCAAUAAUUCUAGUGGCCGGUAUGGUUAGGAUAGUAAAAUCUAUACCCUUUGGACUUUUCUGGAUAAACCCUAAAUGUGUAAAUGUCUUAAACUAGGUUUCCAUCUUUUCCACAAUUCAAAAAGUGUUUUUGUAACUGCCUUAAUAGAACCAAAUUCAAUAUAUACACUACGAUUCAUAAAGCAUACAUCCACAACUAUAUGUAUAAUUUAAAACUACACAUCAUACUUCGAACCAUAUUCAUAAGGGUUUGAUUAUGCCUUUGAGUUACACCAUUCUGUCAUGGAGAACCAGGCGUUGUGUAUUAGGCAUAAAUUCCUAACCAUUCUAGAAGUUUGGUAAAAGGACCGAGAUGAUGUCUCGUGUCAUCAUACCUUCCAAGAAUUUCACCACCUCUAUCAGAACAUAUAAUUUUCACCUUUCUAUCUAAUUGUCUCUUAACUUCAAUUAUGUAAAUUUGAACAACAUUUACAUAUGAGGCUUAUCAUACAACAUAUAGAUAUAACAAUAACGAGAAAAAUCAUCAAUAAAGGUAAUGAAAUACUUUUCUCCACCAAAAGAUGGAACAUAAAAAGUCCACAUAUGUCUGUUUGAAAUAUUUCAAGAAGCUUAUUUGUACUUCUUAUGGCUCUUCUUUAUGUGUUUGGUUUGCUUAACUUAAUGCAAUCCACAUACACCAAAAUUAGUAAAGUCGAGGUCCAGGAAAACCCCUUCUUUUACUAGUCUACUUUUCAUCUAGAUGUAUGAUCCAGUUUUUUAUGCCACAAGAACGAUAAAUAUUAAUCAUAAUCAAUUCACUAAGUAUUAGAAAUGCCAAUUGAGUUUGAUCGAAAGAUACUAAAACCGAAAGCUUAUCUUUUAUAUCAAACAAACGCCAUAUUCACAUAAAUGGCAUUGGCACACACAUAGUGUAUAUCCAAACACAAUUAGAGAAUUAUUCAUUCAACUCCUUGAAACAUGAAUUAAACUUGAGUGACCUGAUUAUAAAGUUGUUUAAGCCUUGCCUAUACUUGAACUAGUAGUCUUGCCAUUUAAUUCAGAUUCCACUUGUCUUUAAUAAUGUAAUAGUGAAACUGAACAUACUAUGUAGACAAGGAAUUUAGGACAAAUUGGAGGACAAAGUAAUCAUCCACUAACAUGCCUAAAUUCUUUAAUUUAACAACUAAAUUAGGAAACUCAAGGACACGGUCAUACAUACUAUGAGUACUAUCAAUAGUAAUCAGUCCAACAAUUAACUUUUCAGCUAGCAGUGCAAAAAUGAUUCUUAAUAUUAUUCAUCAAUAAUUAUUCACAUAAACAUUGAGUUUAAUUUGCUUGUUCAAUCUAGUUCAUUCAUAAUGCAUAAUUUUCUCCUUUUUACUGCUUUUAUAAAAGAAACUAGCAGUAGAUUCAACAAUAAAGAAACAUAUGCCAAGAUCUAGAACUCCCACUAAAAUUAACUAGACUUAUUCAUUCUAGUUCAUUACAUUAGUCUGAUUAAGGAUAAAAACAUACAAAAUAUAUGAAAUAUAAGAAUAAUAGAACGAGAAGAUAAACAUGCUCACAACAUUAGUCAACACAUUAAUUAAACAAAUAUGACUAGGAUUUUUAGUAAUACUAUAAAUGGGUGACAUAUCACAUGAUCAAAAUUAGCAUGGUAUCUGUGGAUAUCCUACACUCAUUUAAUCACAAAUACGUGCAACCCCUUAAUUUUAUCCAUUGUAACAUAUGCUUGAUCUACCUGUGGGUAGCUCAAUAAUGCAAGUGAAUAAAUAGGCAAUAAGGUACUUAGUCUAACAUUCAACAUAAUAUUUAGUUCACUGUGGUGAAAACCAAAUCAUAAUAUGAAUGUUCAAGAAAGUUUUAAUAUUCAUUAAAUAUAUUGGAAUCACUGCGGUGGAUACCAAUAGAAAACUUAAUAUGAAUAUAAAACGGAAAAUAAUGUCCAUAAUCGUAAUUGGUUCACUGUGGUGAUACCAAAUCAUGAUGAUAUGAACCUUAAGGGAAUAAACAUUCAGCUGAAUUAAUGCUACAAGAUCAAAAUAUCAUAAUGCAUUAUAAUUAUAAAAUAAUCUAAUAGUUGCAGGACACAUGAAUAAUAUGGGUCUAAAAAUUAAAGAAUUAUCAUUAACCUACUAUACAUAUGUGAUUAAUAUAUGACAGAGGCAUGAAAGUAAAAUAGAUCAUAAUAUAAACUAGCACAAAAAUGUCUAACUGUAAGACCCAAAACACCUUUAAUUAUGGAGUGCAACUCUUAGGCCCAAAUUAAUAUUAUCCCUUUAUCUUUAUGGAAAUCUUACAUAAACAGUAAUUAACAUACCAAACUACCAAAACACUAAUGGACAAAACGUUAAGUCCAAAACAAUAAUUGGUACAGUUUUACUUUUUGGUAUAUUCAUAAAAGUCAAUAUUUAUGAACAUACUUGGCUUCACUGUGGUGAGUACCAAUAUCAAACCUUAACACGAAUAUUGAACUAGAAAAACCAAUUUUCAUAACACUUUAGUUGGAAUCACUGUGGUGAGUACCAACACGUUUCUUGUUAUGAAAUCUAUAAUUACAGUUUUACACAGAUUACACGACACAUUAGUGCGACUAUAAUAUCCAGCUGUUCAGCCACUAUAAUUAUACACGGUGACAGAAACCACAAUAUGUAUACAGUGAGAUUUAUGUGAACAAUUGUACAUAAUAGCAUAAAUUAGAAGUGGCUAAUAUCAUCAUCUUUAUAUCAUGGGGUUAUGGAUUUGUUUGUUUAUGAGUAACAUGUAGGCCGGAUAAGUUAUAAGAAAAGCAUAUUAAUCAAUGUUCCCAAAGCAUAUUUAUAUUGGGUUGAAUAAUAAGACCCACAUGAUGUUGUCAUUAUACUAGACUUAAGGAGUCAGGACUUCGUACAAACCCAAACCAUAGAGAAAAUAGUCAGGUUACGAUAACGACAUAUUGUUCAUGUCACUGUAAUCACAAUAUUACUCAUACAGUAUGCACCUAAUUAUGGGUUGUUACAUUAAGGCCCAAAUGUUAAACAAAUUAUGAUCGAAAAACUAAGCAGUAUUUUAAACAUUACUAAAGGAAGGCAGAAACUGUGAUGGGUUAGUAAAAUAAGAUAAGCAUUAAAGCCCACAUUCAUAACAACUAAUUAUCUAUCAAACUGAACACAUACAUAAUAUAUACUGGGCUAAGCAAUUCACAUGAAUUCUUAAAGCAUAAACUGUAAUGUGUAGGCAGAUAAUGAUACCAUCUAUACAAGGGUAAUAUCCAAAGCAAUCAUACAUAAUACCUAAACACUUAGGCCCACAUGUUGAUGUAAUACACGAAAGUCGUAAUAACCAAAAAAAUCCGUAAAAGACAAAAGCAUGACAGAAACAAAUAUUAAACCAAAAUAUUGUGAUCUGAUCUUACAAAAUUAAGUUAACGAUAACAAGCAUGCAUGUGAAUAUGGUCAAUGCGUCCCUUCUUUAACUAUUGUAAUGAUGCAUUGUAAUCAUGUAUGUGAAUAUGUUAUACAUCAAAUAAUCAUACAUCAUGCAGGCAUAUUAAGAUACAAUUAAUAUGGGCAUACAAUUAAUACUCAUAACUUAUUACUUUUUGUCCCAUCAACAAAACAUGGAAAAGCAUAGACAUACCAUUACCACUUACUGCCAACAAGUUACAACAUUCAAGACACAAACAUGUUUCAAAAUACAACUAAUGUGUUCAAUUGACAAAUAGGUUGUGUAGGAAAAGAUCGUGUAGAUCGUGUAGGAAUAUGAUUGAACUAUAAAUAAAAACAAAAAAAUGUUUCUUGAUGCAGAACUAUAAUACAGAAUUUGAUUUUGCAGUAAUUGUAGAACUAAAAACAUGAUUCAUAUUGGCGACUGAUACCACAUAUAAGCAUAAUAACAUUAUCAAUAAAUAAUAAGGAUUAUGAAUCACGUAAUUAAUCACUAACAAGUAACAAAUACACAUACCUUUGUCUAUAGCCAUUGAUGAUCUAAGAAGCUGCACAAGAUCUAGGUUUCACUCUCCUUGUUUUUUAAACCCUAAUAUGUGUUGUAAUAGUAAGUAUAUGAGGAUGGAGAUCAUACACCAAUUUAUACAGGUGGAGAGAGGACCUAAAUCUACAAACCUAAGCCCAUUAGAUCUAGACCGUCCAUCAUAGUUAAGAUCUACAGUAGAUAUGACUUCUACAUAACCUAUUACUAAUUAGCUUAUUUUUAUAUUAAACCAAGGUCAAAGGUACAUGGACCACAUUAUGGGUUGGGCUUUAUAUGUGGAAAUUCCAACAUUUUUCAGCUUGUUAGUGUUAGGCAAGAAAUAGUAGUAGGCUACUGUUCAUGAACAAAAGUAAGUAAACAGAAUAUGCAAACCAGAAAAUGUAUGUAAAAGACAAUAUGAAUUGAUUGAGUCAAUAAAUAUCUCUAUUUUUAAGACAUUAUUUGCCCAACAGGUGUUGUAUGGGUUCAAUAAAAAUUGUCUCCCAGGAUACAACAAUCAGUACCUUCGUUAUGUAGCACCAACUUAAACAAAACGAAAACGGUGAACCAGUUCAGUGAUGUAACUCUCUCAACGUCAUACAGACACAAUGAGAUUAAAAUGAAUAUGAGUUUUGAAUGAAUGAAUUAUGCAGACACAAACUAUCUGUUUGUAGCUAAGAAAUAUUCAGGGAAAAGACACUUUGGGUCGAACUUAGUCAAUGAAUGGACACACCCAUUGGGUCGAAUAGACACUUUGUGCAUAAAACAAUUUCAUGAAAGGACACACCUAUUAGGCUCAAAACAGUUUCAUAAAGAGACACACACUGGUUGUUCACACCUAUUGGGCCGAACCAGUAUCAAACCGGUUAGGUAUGGGUAUUUACCAAUUGGAAGAUAAGUUCAAUGAACCUUUCAAUAAAAAGAUUAUGUUCGAUCGCAAAUAACCCAAACCCAAUCCCAACUUGGGUCUAACGGACGACUUUGGGCCCAAAACAGUUUCAUGAAUGGACACACCUAUUGGGUCCGAAACAGUUCCACAAAUAGACACACACUGGUUGGUCACACCUAUUGGGCCGAACCAGUAUAAAACCGGAUGGGUAUGGAUAUGCACCUAUUGGGACAUAACUUCAAUGAACCUUUUAAUAAAGAAAAUUAUGUUGGAUCACAAAGAAACCAAGCCCAAGCCGGUUCAGACGGAUUACGCGUGCGCGUGUAUUUUUCAAGCCUAAGCCCAUGUAAGGUUCCGCCCAACGCACAAAAAUAUUGCAACCCCAAAGGUCACUCCCUUAUUGUACAAGUGUAGUAUAUUAAGAGCAAACCUUAUCUACAUGGAUCAAAUGUGGGACUAUCACAUUUGUCUUACUUUGUGUCAAGUUAUACCACUUACAUAGGUAACGUGGGACGCCAAUUUCUCAUUCAAUAUGAAACCGUUUUGGACGUAUGGAUUUUUUACGAGCAUUUACUCGGAACGAGGAAUCCAUAUAUUCCAAGAUUUUGCUCAUUGGAGCAAUGGAACAUAUAUAAAACUUGUAACAAAUAUUUUGUGAGAAAUCUGUCAAUUUUUGAUAGAUUUUACAAAACAGUUUUCAAUUUCCAACAGUUAGUACACAAUGUAAGGUCUUGCAUUAAUUCGAAUUAAUUAAUAAAAUAGGCAAUGUACUUUGAAAAGUUAACCAAUUUAGGCAACCAACUUUAAAUCCUUCCAAUUUAGGCAACAUACUUUCAAUUUGUUCUCAAUUUUGGCAUCCCUACUUUUUUCGUUAAAUGUUUAUAACUGCACCGUUAACCCAGGCUGACGUGGAUAUUUUUGUCCACGUGGCAUGGGGGACCUUUGACGUGGCCAAUUUUAUUUGAAAUUAUUUUUUUAAAAAUAAUGAAUACAUUUUACCAUGUCAGCAAGGUCCCACAUGCCACGUGGACAAAAAAGAAUCCACAUCAGCAUAGUUAACGGUGCAGUUAAGAAAAUUUGAAGGAAAAAGUUGGGAUACCAAAAUUGAGAAUCCAUAUUCUUCUUCUUUUAAACUAUUGUUCGUGAUGCAGGUGUCAGUUGGGUUCAACUGGUAAAACCUUUGGAUGAUGAUACCAGAGGUCUGGGGUUCAAAUCCUUCCAGUAUUACCGAGUUACUGAUCUCAUUAAAAACAGGCUUACCACAACAUUUUUGCAAAUGAGCCUAUGGCUCAAUGGUAGCCCCCAUCUCACAAAGUGGAGAGGUUGUGGGUUCGAAACACAUCAAAAACUGAUUGUUGAUAUAAGUUUCCACACAUAAUUUAAAAGGGGUAGGGGUCCCCUCAACCCCCCUUGCAAUUAAAAAAAGAAGUAUCAGAAGCACCAGAAAAUAUUGAACUUCUAAGGAGGAUACAAAAAGUAAUGAAUAGCAAUAUGAUGACGGCGGGUUCCAAUGAAUAUGUAUUUCUUAGAAUUGGUUUUGCUAUUCAAGAAGGGCUUGCAGCGCAGUUUGUAGCGCGUUUGUCCUCUACUUUUGUGUAAUUCUUCAAAUUUUUAUUAAUAAAAUUUGUUAUUGAUUUAAGAAAAAAAAAACAAACCAUCGUUCGUCGUCAAUUGGUAUCAAGAGCUCCCCUUUCUAGAUCUCCAUCUUAAAAGCGAUCCACCAAAUUCUGCAAAACCCUUAUAUUUUUUUCCUCCACCUCCCCGCCACCACCAAUCCAAAAAAAAAAAAAAAAACCAUCAAAAACCAAAAACAUUCAGCAGAAUUGUCAUAUUUGAAGAGCAACCGAGAUCACCAUACUUGGAACCACAAAAUGUGGAUUGCGAUUUUGAGUUGUGAGCAAAGAGUUAUUGCAGUUUUGGUACAAGGUGUCAGUUUUUACAUAUUCCAUAUUCAACAACAAUGGCGCUAACGGAAGAAACCAAAACAUAUUUUUAUGAUUUGCUACAAGACUUUGCCGCCAAACUUGAAACCAAAAUCGAUAUUCUUUCGAAGAAAUUUGACGGUCAUGAAAUUUUUGUAGACAAGAAGAUCGAAUAUUUACAAACUUCAAUGAAGAAAAGAAUUGAUGGUCAUAUAUCGACGGAUAACAAGAUUGAAUCUUCAACUUUGACAGCAAAAGAGAUUGAUGAUUUGAAGACUUCAACAAAGGAGAUGAUAACACACUUAUAGUUGAUCUACCUAUUAUUCUUCAAUCUUCGGAACCUACUUCUCCCAUUCUUUAUCACAAAUCCAAAGCCAUUACCAUCGUUACUAACCAUUACUAUCACCCUCUUUCAAAUCCUUUUACGAUGUCUAGCUUAUAACCAAACCAUCACAUAUGGUUGAUCAUGUAUUAUUAAAAGAAAAAUUCUCAAUGGUUUUGAUAGUGUAUCGAUAUGGUCAAAAAGUCGUAAGCUUCAACGAUAGUCCAAAUAUCUUUUUCGAUGGAAAGGAAAUUCACAAUUCAAGCAAUCCAAGAUGACUUCUCGACUCUCGGGCAAUGAUAUUAUUACGCUUCUUCAGAUAUUCAAUUCGAGAAUGAUGUAGGACAAGAAGUAUAUUUAAUUAUUUUAUUAUCAUAUUAUUAUUUAGAAUUUAUUUAGAUUGUUCUAGAAAUUUUGUUUAAUUAGGUUUUGUAGUUUUAUGUUUUUAGAAGUCCAAUAGAUUUAAAAAAUAGUUUACUUGUUGCUUAAGUUCAAGUCUCUAUAUAAAGGGACCAUUAUUAUUAAUUAUAAUAUAAAAAACCAAUAUUCAGUAUAAAUUUUCCAAUCAGUUUAUUGUAUCUCUUAAUUAUAUUCUUCCAAAUUCCUUCUUUAAUAUUUCCUCCCUUUUUUUUUUCUAAAUCUCCCUUUGAGAAUCUGAAUUCUCCUUCUUCUAAACUAUCGUUUGCCGUCAGUGAAUAAUGAUAUGUUUUCACAUACAGAUGUAUACAUACCACUUUAAGAAAAUCACAAGCAUAUAAAAUAAAUCGCAUGGAGUAUGGACGAGAUUGCGGCCGAAUUGGAUGCAUUAAUUUCGUGAUUUUUGUAGUUCUUAAAUGCAUAAAAAUCAUUGCAUUGCCUGAAUUAAAUUCAUUAUUAUUAACUUGAGCUUUUUCCACAGAUUAAGGUAGCUCACGGCGUGAAUCUCCCAAGAUAAAUAAGCAAAGAAAAUGCAGAUAGUCAUGAAAGGAAAACGGAAAAAAAAAAAAAAAAAAAAGGAUGAUGAGAGAAAGGUCGAAGGACUUCAAAAAAAGCAAAAAAUAAAGCAAAAAACGCAAGAUGAGGUAACUUUACAGAAACUCUACUUCCAAAUUUCAGCAUUGUUAAAAUUAGACAAUAUAACCAAGAAAUACUUUAUUUUGACAAUAAUAUUCAGUAAGCUAGAUUCCCUGUGUUUGUUUGACACUGCUUAUGUUGUUUGUCAAUAGUUGUAGUUAGUAUUGAAAUGUUAAAUAUCAUACUUUCUCUUGUAGGGUGAAAAAAAAAACAAUCAAGUACUUUUAGGAGCUACAUCAAGUCUGUAGUUUCUUUCGUACAAGACAUGAAGCAGAGAAUUCCAACCACGCACAAGGAUGCGAUGAUGAAGACGCCUUUUGGGAGAGUGUUCAAUCUCUUCGUUGAAAAUGGAGUAAGAGAUGAGACCAUUAGUGGGCAGAACAAGGACGUUCUCUAAAAAAUAAUAAGUAAAUAUUCACAUGAAGAGGACGCAUUCAAAAUCGGGCAAGGAGAAAACACAAAAUAUAUGAAGUUCAAACCGAAACAUGUGUCCCUAGCCUUUUAUUUUCCCCUAGAUGGGAAGAGAGUGUCUGAUGUAUUUAGAAGGUUCAAGUACAAUCCAUAGUCAUCAUCCUUUCUCAAGUGCUUAGACCUUGCAAAGAACACUGUCAUAAAAAAAAAGAUGAAAUGGUGGAUAAACUCAAUCUCUUGUUGACAAAAAAUGAUCAAUAUGAUCUUUUCUAUAGGAUGGUAGCUGUUUUUCUGGCAAUGACACUAUUUUUUCACAAACUUGAACACCAAGAUUGGUUUAUCUUUUCUCUCAAACAUUGAGAGUCUUCAGACCAUGAAUUCCAUCAGUUGGACACAUGUGAUUUAUGACAAGCUAAUGGAAAAUAUCAAGGAACAUACCAACAAGCCGUUGUCUGUCAACGCGGCAUGCGUCAUUCCUAUCUUGGUAUGGUUAUGUGAGAUCACUGGGAUCUUAGAACCAAGAAAGGGCUACAUUGUUAGCACUCCAAGGAUUGGAAGAUGGAAUUUCACCAAGCUUUCACAAAAACGGAAAAAUGAUUUCCUAGAAUAUAUCACAAAGGACAUGGUAUUGAAAAAAACAUGUUUUUUAUUUUAUUUUCAUCUCUAUCUGUUUGCAAACACCUCCUCCAUGUACAAUAUGCAAAUACUUCUCUGCAUUGUCCAAAUACUGUACUAUUUCUCCAGUAUUCGUUAUCGUAGGUUAUAAAUAGUUCAAUAUUGUUACAAUAUACUGGUUUAGAGCUUAGAACAGGAACAACAAGUCAAUGUAAGCCUCGUUUUGUGCCAUACAUGUACAAUUGCUGAGUUUGUAGCUUAAUCUUAAGAAUUAAAGAAAUGAAGCUAUAGGAUAAUAGUCUAGAAUCUAGAAUAUGUUUCUCGACGGUCACUAGGAAAAGAAUGGCGAGAGAGAAAAUGAGUGGCGGUGGGAAUAUGGUAGAAAACGAAUAGGACAAAAACCAAAACCUAUUUUUAUUUUAUUUUUAUCCCUAUCUGUUUGCAAACACCUCUCUGUACAAUAUGUAAACGCAUAUCUGUACAAUAUGCAAACACUUAUCCACAUAGUUAGAAUUGAGAAAAACUAAUAAUUUUUAUUCUCGUUUAUGUUCUUUUAAUUAGAUUAAGGAAGAUUACCAAGAUAUAAUAGAGGCAGAGAAACAACUCUUUGAAAAAAAUAGCCAUCGAAGAGGAAAUUAAGGCAAAGGACUAUGAUCAACUUCACAAAGAUUACGAGGAGUUAACUAUCCAUAUGCUACAAAAUGAAAUUAAUGAGCUCAAAAAGGAAAGAAUACUGAAUAAGGUUGAAGAUGAUGUUGUGGACAACAAUAGAAGCAAGGUUUAUGAUGGCAGGAAUGACGGUGAUAACACAGCUGAUGACAAAGAUGUAGCUGGGGUUGAAAUUGAAAAGCAAACUGACGACAAAGAUACAACUGGGGUUGAAAUUGAAAAGAAAGCAGAGGGUAAAGGUGCAGUUGAGCUUGAAAGUCAAAAGGAAGUUGAGGACAAAGAUGGAACUGGCGGUCAAAAUGAAAAACAAGAUAGGAUAAAGAUGCAUCUGGAGUUGAAAUUCAGAAGCAAGUUAAGGUUCAAAUUGAAAAAAACAAUAUGGUGUUGGAAUUCAAAAGCAAACCGAGGUUCAAAUUCUAAAGCAAGCUGGAGUUGAAAUUUAAUGUCGACCAUUGAAAACAUAUAAAAGCAAGCUAACAUUGAAAAGAAAAGAAACACAACAAGAAAAAUGUUGAAGUUGAGAACGAAGAGAAACAAUAUGACUUAUGGGCAAAGGUGCCAAGAAAGGUGGAGGAAGUAAAAAUUCCUAAAGGCAAAACACUAAAAUUAGGAAGAAAGAAGAAGGUUGAAACAAGAAUGAAAUUAUUGAAGUUGAGAAGAUGGUAACUGUAAGCAAGAGUGUUGAGGUUGGAGUUUUUUCUCCACUCCUAAGCAUAACCAAUAGUCACCACUACAAUUACCUCAAGGAAAAAGAAAAAGAAAAAAUGUUAAAUUUCUUCUCACUUUGCAAUUAAAGGUAAGUUAACCAACAUGAUUUUAUUUUGCUUUCAGUUUAUAUUUUAACAAUGGAAGUGAAAGAAAAGCACUUUUAAUAUGAUGCAACGCAAUUGCAUAUGGGGAUGAUACUCUGAAAAUACGAGGAAAUAAACUUGAAGACUUAAUGUUUGGUAAGUUCACAAGUAGCGAGGUAUGUCGAUUUUAGGCUCAUGAAAGUGUUAAACCAUAUCAUAGAUGUAAAGAACUGGAUUUUAGUUGGAUCAAAUUUAUAAUAAGAUUAUGCAAUUUUCUGUUUGUAUCUUGUAAUUACUGAAAUAUAUUGUCAAGAGAUAAAUGCAGAUGAUGCAAAAAUUCAAUUGCAUAUUAAAGAUAAGGUAUAAUAAUGUAUCUUAUUUUCAUUAUUGUUCUGUUUCAAGGUCAUUGACUUCUAUUCAAAAUGGUUGAAGAGGCCUCAUUCCGAGGGAGCAAAAUGUGUAUAUGUGUCAUCUCUUGCACGGGUAAAACUACGUUAUAUUUUUUACUUUGUUUUCUAAAUUUGCCUAUUGAGUUCAUUUCUUAACAUGAUAUCCAAAUUUUCUUUUUUCCAAUAAAGAGUCAUCUCAAGUCAGAUAAAACAAAAUGUGUACAAAGAACAUUGCAUGAUAUCUUGUACAAGGAAUUGACUGAUGACGUCAAAUAUCCUUACGAAUACUUCACAGAGUAGUUACCAAGCAGAAGGAUACUGUUGUAAUGGUAUUGAGUAUGGUGGAAGAUGGAACGAUGUUGUUGUAGAAGCGAAUUAUGGAUGAAGUGAAGUUAUAGUUGACUCAAUACUACUAGAACAAUAAUCUUUCCCAAUUAAAGAUUCGAGUAUAGCGGCAAGGAAAGGUAUCAAUCCACUCUAAACACACAAGAAAUAAAGAAUACUACCAAUGAGAUGUCACAAUAUUUUGUAGGGAUUAUAUUUAUCUAAAUUAACUACUUCUAAUCUAAUACGAAUACUAAAACGGAUCGGAGUAAGAUUAAUAAAGGGAAUAGGGGACAUGUUCACCUGAUGAAUUCCACAUGAUAAUAAUCCAAUUAAUAUGCAUGUUCUUAGCUACUCACCUCUUAGCUAUUGUAGUUCCCUAGCUCACCUAUCAACUAUUGCUAGGAUAGAUAAACACUCACCUCUCAGCUAUUGCGUCUAACUAUUUUACUUGAGAUGCAUGAAUGGAGUGGAUGAAGCCCAAAGUAACAUUUUACUAAGUAAUCAAUCACAUGGUUCCACUCAUGCAAGUAUACGUAUAUAUGGCAUCUUCUAAUCAAUACAAAUUUAUAUUGAAACCCAAUUAUGUACUCACGUACCUCUCGGGUAUUGUAGGUAUUAAACAUGUAGGCAUGGUAAACAUACAAGACAAAAAAGGAUGAACUACACAUAUUACUUCUCUCUCGAUACGACAACAUGCAAGUAUUAUUAUUACCUCUUAUAUGAAAACGAUUCAAUGAAGAACAAACAUAAAAACUAUAUUAAAAUCAUGGGUUCAUCAAUGGAGGUUACUUAUCCCCUAAAGAUUUAGCCUUCCAUUGAUGAGGAAUAAGUUAUCAUCAAUAAGAAGAACAUACCUUUAUUCCUCUUAAACAUUAAAAGCCUAAUUACAACUUGCCUGAGAAUAAAUGCUUCAAGAAGAGACUUCUCAAGAGUUUGAUUAAAAAGAUUACCAGAUGUUCAAAACCCUAGUUUUCUAGAGUAUAUAUACUGUUCGGCCAUGCAAGCAUGCCUAAACACGUCAAGUCCGUCGUAGGAUCGAAGUAGGUCGGUGAAGGGCCCAUUAUCUUCCAGUCGACAUAGGACCAAAUAGUCUGGAAACUGGUCAACUCGCGGGAUGGCGACUAGUAGUCGCUUGGUGGAAAGUUGAUUGUUAACUUUCUGUCUUCGGUAGUGUUCUGCAUCCUUCAUGGAUCAUGGUACUUUUAUCCUAUGGGACUUUGGUUCAGUGGAAAUACUCCUCUGAGCUUGAUACAGUUGUGGUGGAAAUACUCCUCUGAGCUUGAUACAGUUGUGGUGGAAAUACUCCUCUGAGCUUGAUACAGUUGUGGCUUUCUUUUUUGCUUUAAAGUCUUCCUUCUCUUGGACUUGGAUUUUCUUUUUGAUGUAGGAGUCUUUGAGGAGGUAAACUUGGAGCUUUUAUUGACAUUGAUUCAUAAUCCAUCAACUUAAGCCCAAUACUUGUUACUUUAGGCCUUCUUUAAAGUUAUUGAGAGUUAAGGCCCGUGAAAUAUAAUAAACCUGAAAACAAGACUAAAAGAGACAUGCCCUUGUAGGGAUAAAUCAAAAGAAGUCUAAAAUAUCCUGGGUCAAAGAAGUAAAACCUACGACAUUCCCUCAACAAGGCGCAACAACAUAUAUCAUGAUCGGUCACAAAGCUUUAAUUCAUGGAUUUUAGAACCUUGAUGUAUCAUGAUUAGUCACAAGCUCUUUUUGUUUUUCAGGUCUGAUUAUGGUGUUUAUGUGUGCAAAAUAAUGGAAAGUUUGAGCCGCAAGGAGCAGUUGCGGAUAUCCAUCAGUAGAGGGUUUUGGAUCAGGCUCAACCCAUCUGGCUUUCCCCAAAAGCCCUUGACAUUAGUUAGAGUACGGUUAUGUACUACCAAUACAACCACUUACUAUGCGAUGUGGGACUAACCCAACUCUUAGGUGUUACAAUCCCACCACCUUAGAAUACAGUCAUCCUCGGCUCUACAACACACACAACGCAGUCCUAAAAUCUCCGACGUUCCGUGCCAAGUGAGACAAGUACCUGGCGUUCCCUGGGCCCUUCUAAUGUACUUCCCACCCGCAAUUGGAACCCGUCGUCGGCUCUGAUACCAUCUGUAACGGCCUGGGAUAUCUUUGUAAAAUAGAUCAUGAUGUGACAGAAUCUGCUUCUAUGGGUGAUGAAUCCACCUAGUGCAAUAGCUCUAUAUAUUUUGGUAAUUUUCUAACCUUCAUCUCUUUGAAAAUAUUGUGGUUUCAAUUUUGAGUUAAAAAUUCUUGUAUAAAGCUGUGAUCAUGAUCUAGGGAUGUUAGGGGGUGGUUCGGGGCCGGGUACCUCUAUCUCCAUCCCCAUCUCCAUUUAGUUUUUUUAGUCUCCAUCCCCGUCCGUUUCCCCGCUUGAGACUAUUCGGGGAACCCCGUCCCCGCCUCCAAUGGGGAUCGGUUCCCCGCGGGGCUCCAUUUUUGUUUUAGGUAAUAAAAAUAUAACAAUAAUAAUGACCAUUCAUAAAUUUAAAUUGUCAUAAUAAUAUCUCGAAUUAUAAAUUCAACUUAAAAACUUUAACUAAAUUUGACCCAAACAAAUUACAAGCUUAAAGUCAUGAACACACUUCACAUUAAAUUUAUGGUAAGCCCAUCAAUUACCUUGUAAAUUAUUUAAUUUUUAAAUCAAGUAUAUAAUCGGGUCGGGUCCGGGUUUGGAGACCAUAAUAUCCGUCCCCGCUCUAAAACCUACUCGGGUUUUAAAAUGACCUCCAUACCCACCUAGUCCUCAUAUAUACCCCAUCCAUAUCCACUCCAUCCGGUUCUCCAUGAGGAUUCGCCUCCACGGGGUUUUUUAUAUCGACAUGAUCAAACAAAAGGUUUUCUUUGUAAAAUUCUAUUGUGCUAUAAAUUUGAGUGCUUUGGUUGUCAAUCAAACUAAGUUCUUCAUUAGUUUAGAUGACAUAUUGUUAUGUGCUGAUGGUAUCAAGCUAGAUUGUAUUGUGGGUCUUUAAUGUCAUGUAUACAUAACUAGAUAUGGUUUGCAUACAAGUGACUCCACUUAAAUAUUAUUAGUAUGCUAAUUUAGGAGGUUCUAUGUUUCAUCUCGAAUGACUUAGGAUAUUGCUCAUCUUGAAAUUCGAUGAAGUUUUUCAGUAAAAUUUCUGACAUAGAAUUAUUUUGCUUACAUGGCAUUGACCAAGGUUGAGUUGUCAGUUUUUUUUUUGCCAAAUCAGUUUUGUCUUUCAUCUUCUUCACAUCAAUCUUGUGCUUUUUACUAAACAAAUUGGUGAUGGUGGGAUAUAAUGUCCCUGUAAAGGUUUGAUUCUUGUUCAAUUCAUGUUCUAUUGUUGUCGAUUAUAAAGCUUCUUGGACCUACCAAUAGCUCCACACAAUGUUUUGAAGAAAGUGUGUAGUUAUCUUAAACUAGGGUUUAAUUAUUUAGUCAAAUCUUUAUACCAUUAAACUAGGGUUUGAAAUCUAAGCAUGUAAUAUUAGAGGAAUUUAUUGGAUUUGGGAUUUUAUUCUUUAACUUGGGAGUUUUCAAAACCUAGGGUUCUAAAAUUUGGUGGUUUUAAGAAAUUAGGGUUCUUAAAUCAUGUUUUUUAAAGGUAAAUCUUAAAACACACAUUCAUUUAAGUUGUUUUUUAUUUUUCUAAUUUGCUUUACGUGGAAUUUAAUUUUAUUACACGUCACACAGUUCACCGGAGAAAUCAAUCGGAAUUAUUCAUAUUGUCAAUUUUGAAAGUUGACUUGAAGUUUGUUAUUAGUUUCCAAGUACAUUGUCAGUUUUGAAAAUAAGUUCAAAGUUCGUUGUCAAAAUGAAUAGUUUGGUCGUUUUUUAUGGGAAUAUCAUUCUUUUACAAUUAUAGAUUUUUAUAACAUUUUGUUUUAUUUUAUUUUUUUUGCAGGUUCAUGCUCGUUAGGUUGCUAAUUGGAAUGAUAUUAUUAGUUGCUGACUUGGCAUUUGUAUGUGGAUCUAUAUGGAAUUGGCUGAAGAAGUUGAGGACUUUCACCCCAUUUUAUGUAACUUUUUUUGGAAGUCUGAAAGAUUGAAAUGUCCAACACUUUAAACAUUAAUCUAUACUCUCUAUUAAAGUUGGGCACGCCCUUAAGAAAAUAUUCUCUCUCCAAAUUAGAGAAAAUUGAUGCUUUAAUUAAAGAGAAUUUGAUUAAAACUUAGAAUUGAAGGGUUAUUUUAGAACUUUUACACAAUAUUAGCCAUUGCAUUCAUAUAGUCGACAUUCCCCGCACAAUACAAUAGUUAGGAAGAGCAUUAUACCUUUUUCUAAAAAAAUAUUAAUUAAAUUUUCUUCUUAUGAGUUGCAUCAAAUCAGGAGAACAAUAACUUAAUGGAGAAAUUAGAGAAUAAUAUACAUUUACAUAAUAAAAUUCUACUAUCAAUUAAUUUCAAUAGAAAAAUUAAAUCUAAAUUAUAACAUGUAAAAUAACAACUGUGCAUCGCAUGGGUUAGAUAACUUGUUUUGGUGUAGUAAUCUUAAACCUUUUAAGGACCAAUGAAAAUAUGAAAUGUCAUAUUUUGUUAUAGUUUAUUAACUGGUCAACAAUUAGGCUAUAUAUUAUUACGCUGACAUGGCACUACAUGUUCCCCAACAGUAAUUUAAGAUAUGUCAUAUUACUGUUGUCUCGUGGGUGUUGUGGACCCCAUAGUCGGCUUGAUUAACCUGUUAUGUGGUUUAUUAAGAAGAUAAAUUAAUCUUCUCCUAGAUCAAUAUCCUUAUCAUCAUCUUCAUGCUGGGAAGAGCCGUGUUGAGAACAAUCUUGUUUGAAAUCCCACCAUGAAAUAAUUGUGUUACCAUGAUCAUCAGGGUCUUUACUGGUAUUGGAAGCAGUGUCCAUAGGAGAAAUAUCUCCAAAAGAAGCUUGGAUGUGCUCCUGCAUUUCUUUCAUGACUCGAAACUUGAUUUCUUGGGAUGAAAGCCCAGGAUGGGCUUUUGUUAAUUUUUCCCGAAUAAUUGCAACAGGAUUAUCUGUAAAAGUUUCUUUUGGAACUGGUGAUGGAGUAUGACGGGAAGUAAAUAAUUGUUCUAGCUUUUGAAUAUCAGGAGCAAUGGUCAAUAAUUUUUUCUCUGUGGGACAUUUUGCCCACCAUUUGUAAUGAUAUUGUCGGCAAAGACCAUGAAGUCCUUCAGAAGCUUGAAACUGACAACUGUAAGUCCAAGCCCAAAUCCAAGGGAUCAAAUAAUCUGCUAGGAAAAAGAGGAGUGAUCUUCCUCGAAUAGUAUCUUUUCCUUCGAAUAAGUGAUGAAAUUGGAGGUAAGGUUUAAAAAGAGCUUUUAAUUCUGAUGGUAAAAAAUCUAAAUUAGGGCCAAAUUUAUAAAACCAAUUAGGUAUUUCAUUAUUUUCUUUUUUGAAAUCUUCAUCAAAAUAGAGGAACCAAGAGUGUUUCCUCUGAGGAUUUUGGUAAAAGAAGGAAUAGGACCAUGCGUCCAUGUAAUCCCAAUAAUUAUAGGAUUGAUUAUAAUUAUGGUAUGGACCACGUAACUCCCGUAAUUUAUUUGGGUCUCCCCAAUUAGAAGACUUGAGGACCAAAUGGAUCAUUGCUUUGCUGUAAGCAAUAGGUGAAUUAAGGGUAUUACCCUUUCUAUUAUGCUCAAAGCUUACUGAUUUAGUCUCUUCUAAAAUUGAUUCAUAGAAAUAUCUAUGUUUUCCACCUCGGAUAGGACUAUUAUCCUUUUCAUCAAAAUAUUUUUGUCCCAAAAUUAUGGGAUCCGAUAACCAUUUUUCAUCCUCUGGAUUGAGGAUCACAAGUAGUUCUGUAUAAUUUUUUAAGAACAACUUGGGCUCAUUGUUGCUUAAUAAAGCUUCUUUCAUAGUUUUGUCCAUUGGGACUUUCAUAUUUUUGUCCAUUGGGACUUUUCCAGAAUAACCCGAAUUAGGGCCGAUAAGGCUCAAUUUGCCUUUACCUGUAAUUGAAGAACCCGAAUUAGGGUCGAUAAGGCUCAAUUUGCCUUUACCUGUAAUUGAAGAACCCGAAUUAGGGUCGAUAAGGCUCAAUUUGCCUUUUCCACGUCCUUGCCCCACGUAUGGUGCUGGACUAUGAUUACUCAUCCCUGCAAAUAUCUAUUUAAUAUCGGAUACCAUUACUCAAGUAUCUGUAAGUUUUCUUUUCUUUUCAUUGUAAUUAUUUUAGUUUUUAAUUUCAUGUGAAUAAAGCUUUCAGUAUUUUCUUCUGUUCUUCUUCUUCUUUAAUUUCUGUAUUUUAAUUUUAUGUUUUAAGUUUAGUAAUUUUCGCUGAAUUGUUUAGUUUAAUUUUACGAUUUAUAAUCCUGCUUUAAUUUUGGUAUCAGCGCCAUGUCAGCGUAAAUUACUGUUGGGGAACAUGUAGUGGCUUGACCAACAGUAAUUAUUCGAGAUAAGAACGAUGAUACUGUUUCAGUUCUUCAUUAAGAUAUGGAGAAUAUUCCUAAUCAAGGAACAUAGCAACUCCUUUGGAACACUGCAACCCUUUUGUAAGGGGAAUGGAUUGUCAAGCUGCUACUGGUGGCCUCUGACAGCAGCGGUGAUGAGGGUCUGAGCACUUAUGUGUAAAUCGACCUCUAUUGCUUAAAAUCUUGUUAGUAAUAUUAUCUAUUCUCUUAAAAGAGAUUUAUGAUUAGUCUUUUGACAUCGUCGCGUUGGACUACUCUGUAGUCUCCGACUAAUAAUUGUUUUGUAUUUGAUUUAUGGUUAUUAUCAACUCUGUCGCGUUGGACUACUUGUAGUCUCCAGCUGUAAUAGUUAAGUGUUCUGAGUUAUGAUGAACAUAGACUUCGUCGCGUUGUUUCCCGUUUAGCCGCAGGCAGAUGGCCGUUAGGCGUUUAGGGAUUUUAUUCGUUGACUGUUGAAGUUCAUCAUAAUUUUGGAUAUGAGAUUAUUAUUUGCUGUGACAUAAAUCGUUGACUAUUGAUAUUUAUCAUAAAUUAGGAUAUGAAAUAGUUUUAGUCGUGACUUAAAUCGCUGACUGUCAGUAUUAGUCAUGAUUAAUGAUCUGAAAUUUUAAUCUUUUAUGUUUUAUAUCAGGAUAAUUACUUUUGAGUAAAGAUCUGCAUGAUCCCUAACUCCUUAUUGACACUUUAUCUUUCGUGUUAUCUGGCAUAUCUAGUUUUAAUAUUUAAAUAUUCUAUAAUGAAUCAAAAUGAUAGAUACUUUAAUCCUUUGGCAAUCCCUUAUAGGGAGAGAAUUAAAAAUACUAUUUGGUAUUCAAUAGACCCAACCAAGGAAUUUAUCAUUGAUCGAGUGGCCAUCAAUAAUGAAUGGAAUAGUUCAAAGUAUGAUGACUUUCGAAAAUGGUUUUGGGAAAAUUAUAAUGAAGCUCAACAUGCGUUUAUUAAAACAAAUUAUUAUAAGCAUUUAGAUGAGAUUAGAUUUAUUAUUCCAUUUGCACAAUAUGUGCAAGAAAUGGGUAAUAUUCUAGAAUCAUAUGUAGCUAAAAGCUAUAUUAAUUAUUGGACCAAUACUGUUAAUAAAAGUUCUAAACCUGAUAAUCUUCCUACUAAGUUUCCUGUAAUAGAUGAACCUAUUGAGAAAUCGGCUGUUCCCAAGCAAUCGAUCUCUCCUAAAGAUGAAUCUAUUAUUCUGAAAUCAGUUGUUCCUAAACAACCAAUCUCAGAAGAGACAAAGUUAACUAAGGUUAUUUCAGAUUUACAACCAAUCAAUAAAUUUAUCAAUAUUGAUAAUACGGUUAAUAGACCUGAACUCGAUAAAAUCUAUUUUCUCCUUGAAAAACAAUCUGAUGAUUUAAGUCAAAAUCAACUGACCGAGACUUUGACUGAUAAUAAUAUUAUUAAUUUAUCACAAGAUAUUAAUACUGUAUCUGAUAAAAUUGAGAAUAUUGGAGACAGUAAUAUCAAUGUCAGACCAGAGGAUGAGCAUGAUGUCAUUCUUGCGAAUACUGACAGUGGUAUUAAUAUCACCCUAGAGGAUAAUAAUGAUACCAUUCUCGUUUCUUCUAGAAACGUUGACAGUAAUAUCAACGUCAGACCAGAGAAUGAACAUGAUGUCAUUCUUGAGAAAACUGACAGUGAUAUUAACGUCAGCCUAGAAGAUAAGGAUGAAGUCAUUCUUAUUAAUUCUUCUAGAAAAGUUGAUAAUUAUAUCAACAAUAAACAUGAUAAUAUCAUUCUUGUUUCUUCUAGGAAAAUUGACAGUGAUAUUAACGAUAGUCUAAAGGAUAAGCAUGAUGUCCCUAAUAAGGACACUCAUGAUGUCACUUAUGACGUCACCCACGAUGUCACUUUCAUUUCUUCUAGUAAAGAAACUAUUAUUUCAGAAUUAACUGAGAAUAAUGAAAUAGGACAAUAUCCUAAUCAAUUUGAUAAUACUAUAAGUGUUUUAUCACCUAGUAUUAAAAAUAUUAUUUCCAAAGGAAAAUCUCUAAAAAACCUUUCCGUCAGAAAUCUGUCUAUAAUAGAAUCUCUUUCAAAAAACAAUUUGUUCUUAAUGAUCGAUUUCUUAAAAGGAAAAUUUCCAAAAAACCCUUUCGUCAGAAAUUUGGAUACAGUAGUUCUAAUCAAGAUCUUUUUAAAAGGCAAUUUGUUUCAAAUUUCAAAAAACAAUUUGUUGAGAAUAAUCAAUUCCCUAAAAAGAAUAAUUUUAUAAAACAUGAUAAGGUUUAUUCUGAUAUAAUUGGAUUAAUUAAACCAGUUAAGCAUGAUUUUAUGGAUACUGUAAAACUACAAAUAGUGCAAAUCUAAUAAUUGAAUAUUCAAACAAAUCAAACGAUACGCAGAAAGUAAAUAACACACAGGAAUUUUUAACGUGGUAAAACCCAAUAUGGGAAACGUCCACGGUUGUCCUCUCGACAACAAAUAAAUCCACUAGAUGAAAAGAGAUGUACAAACCUAUCAACUACCUGCAAUCACUGCGAGUUGAUACUCCUGGUUAUCUCUAACACCUUGACUUCACCAGAGCACCUUGAUGUACGCACAAGACACUCGACUUCUUGAUGAACACACAAGAAGACUCGAAGUCGAACUAUGAAACAAGCUUACACCAGAGUUCCUUGAUGAACACACAAGGAUACUCGACUUCUUGAUGAACACACAAGAAGACUCGAAGCUAAAUCAAUAUAAACAAUAAUGAAGAAGAAGAUGAAUGGGGAAGAAGAAGAUGAGUUCAAUCACCAAAACCACCUAACCCAAAAACCUAAACAAACUCCAAGAAACAAGAGGUGAAUUGGACGGCCAAAGAACUGACUUGUUCUUUGGAAGAGAAACCCUAUUUAUACUUAGGGUUGGAAACCAAGGAAAGUGGGCCGAAAUAGUGCAAACCGACUUUGGACGUACGUACGUCGAUAUGACGUUCGUACGUCUCCACACGAAAAUAAGCCUGCUGUCUACUUGGACGUACGAACGUCCUGUAAAGGUACGUACGUCCAGAAUGCAAACUUCCCGGCUGACUAUCCAUAUGUACGUACGUCCUUCCAUGGUACGUACGUUUACCAAGAUAAACGUUCUGCUGACUACUUGGACGUACGAACGUCCUAACAAGGUACGUACGUCCUGAACCAAAAACCACACUAAUGACACACGACGCGAAGACAAGGACAUGGGACGACGCGCGUACAACCAGGUUUUCUUAACAAUGAACUCAAGGCGAAAUAACCAGGGACACUUUGUCACAAAAUUGAUGUCAAACCACUUUGUGCCGGUUUCAAUCUCCCCCUUUGACAUUGAUUUUGUGACAAAAACCUAUGACUCUAAUAGCACUUAUAAAACGUGCUUACAAACCCAAACCAUGGUAUUUAUAAAAUAUGCCUACAGAAUCACUCAAGGUAGAACACACACAAAGUCACCAAUUCUCGUUAUCCAACUUGAGCAAAACGCUUUAACCAUCAGAGACCGAACGGAAGCACUUAAGAAUUUCCGAAACAAUCAAGAAAUCAACAGAUCUUCCUUCAAGCAACUCCCCCAUACAUCAUGAGCUCCAAAAUUUUGACACUCGAGCUCCCCCAUACGUGUAGCAUACCUGAAACAUAACCCAAAAAUACACUAACAAGGAAGAAGAAGGUGUUAGUAUUAGAGUCAUAAAUCUCCCCCUUUUUGUCACAUAUGAAGCAAGGUAACAAAAGAAAGAGAAAAGAUAAAUACCAAACCAUAACAAAUAAGAUUAAAGAAGAAAAGUAAGAGAACAAUCAUGUUAACAACAAAAAGGAUAUGCAACGGAAGGCAUAAAAUAAACACUUGUUAACACGAUGUCAAUACAAAGAAUUCUCCCCCUAAACAAAAGCGUCACCUAAAUGCAAUGCAUAUGAGAAAGAUGCACCUAGAACAAACAAACCAAAUAAGGAUAUUUGAAACACACAAAAAACCCAUUCAUACAAGGGUAAGAAGAGAGUAAAGAGAAACCAUACCAUAAUCUGGGAAUCCAUGGACACACAAACUAAAAAAACAUGAGAGAGAUUCUAGGCAUAUAAAUGAAGNNNNNNNNNNNNNNNNNNNNNNNNNNNNNNNNNNNNNNNNNNNNNNNNNNNNNNNNNNNNNNNNNNNNNNNNNNNNNNNNNNNNNNNNNNNNNNNNNNNNGUACCAACUACCAAACCCAGACUUCGCUACUUAUAUAGGUAACAGAGGGAAGAAAAGAAAACAUAACAUGAAUCCCUAAUAGAAACCAAGAGAAACCUAUACAUAGAAGAAAGAGUCAGGACACCAACAAUCGGAACAAAUGAUUCACUAGAAUAUCACUUAAAACAACCGACCAUAACCACCUGAGAUAGAUUCCAGAGAAACGACUUCAUAGUAGCAAGUUAUCUAGAGAAAAAGAUCAAACAAACAAAAAGGAAGAAAUACCAUACCUGAUGAAAUUGGGAAGGUACAAUAAUGACCAAGAACCAAAUAGUCAAACCUGUGAGAAAUGUGCAAGAAAAGAAUAUGCGAAAAGAGAAAGAAGAAGAGAUAAACAAUAGUUAGUAGGAGAUAUGAAAGAGAAUAGGGAAACCAUGCAUAUUAGACACAUCCAACAAUAUCCCAUGACAAAACUACAGGAAUAUGAGUAUCUGCAGGAAGAGAUACGUAAAGUAUAAGAAAAUCCAUUGAGAAUCCAUGGGGAAAUCCAAUCUGUACAUGUUCCUGAAACAACUCAUUCAACCACAAAAAAAAAUUAGAGAAUCUUAUAAACAAGGAGAAGAAAAUAUUAUCCCAAACACAACGGAAUAAAGACAUAAAAGGAAUAAACCUGUAAGCCCACCCCUAGUGAAACCCAAAAAUUAGUUCAACAUAUGCCAAACAAGAUAAGCAAUCAUCAAGCUCAUAAAAAAAAUGCUGUAACUGAAGAAUGAGCAAGGAUUAUCGAUGUCACCAAGUCACAAAACAACAAUCUAACUUCAGAGUAAAUUUCCUGCCAGAACACUAAGACUCCGAUGACAUGCCAUACAUUGUCAGAAAGAUUAGAGAGUCAAUAGAAGAGAAUUGCUAACAAUAGAUGACCAAACUGAGCAUAUGCAUCCCAAAAUAGAACAGUGGUAGCCCAAAACCAUUGCAUGAGGAUUAUUGAAGAAGACUACCAAGAACACAUCUAAUCAAGCCUAUUGCAGGAAAAAAUAGGAUCAACCAGGCACAAGAAGCAACAAUAAGAGGAUAGGCAAGUCUCAUAAGCAUUGAAUCAAACACCAGCUAGCCAACAAGGUAAUUCAAGAAUAUGACCCCAACAUAGAAAAGUAUGAUGAGAACCUAUGAGAAAACAUGAAUUAGUAUAAAUCAUGACAACCGAAUACACCAAUAACAUGAUUUCAUCACCAAAAUAUGCUUAUGCAUACCUUGUAGCCUUCUUAAAACAAAUUGAGAACUAUUACCUUGAGAAAUCACAUCAAACACAUGUGAUCCAAUGACAAAAAUAGAAAGCAUGAAGUGUAAAACCAAAUACUACUAACAAUCUGACCUUAGUAUGUCAAUGAAACACCGACUGAAAAGAAUUACCAAGGAAUAGAACCAAAAUAGAGUAAGCCAUAAACACUUUCAGCAAGAACAUCUGCCUGUAAAGUUACUGAGAGAAAAAUAAAGUUGACGACACGCACAUUGUCCAUGAACAAGAAUCCGAAGAAAUGACGCCUCUACUCCUUUGAGCACGAGGAGGACGUGUGCCCGAUGACGAAGCACCCUUGGAACUGGGUGUUUCUUUGGUGGGAGUAGUCCGAGCUCGCUGAGGAGGCAUGUCCUGCACACACACAACAUUAUAAACACCACACAAGUAAGUAAAACCAACAAAACAACCAAGAAAAACCUUAGGAAACUCCAUUCAGGCAUUUCACCAAACACUUGGUGAGCAAUACAGAACAUAUAGGUAAAAACACUACAUGAGCAUACCAAAAUGAUACUAAACAUGUCCAAGAAACUCCACAACCAUUAAUAAUCACAAGAAGUUCCAAAAUUAUCUAGACAACAAGUAUAUAUCCAAUGGUAUGAACCCAACAUGAUCAUGGUAAACAAACUCUUAAUCCAAAGCAUAACAGACAAAUAAUAAUGCAGCAUCAAGAUAAAAUGAAAAAACCUUGCUGCCUGAACAUGCGUACGAACGUAAUAACACCGUUCGUACGUUCCUCCAAAAAAAAAUCUGCCUCCACAAACAUUCGAACGUGCUAAUAACGUUCGUACUCCCUUUUUUUUUUUUUUUUUUUUUUUUUUAACAAUAGAGAACUAACCUUAAUAACAGAAAAACAAACCGAAUAACUAACAACACAAACCAUAAUAAGAAGAUAAAAGGAAAAGAACCGAUGUACCAUAAAAGUGAAGAGGAAUACAUCAAGAACUUCCAAAACAGUAGCCAAUCCCAAUUCGUACAAAAAUAAGAGGCAAUAUAUGGGAAUAAACAAAAGAUUGAACAAAUAAGAGAAUUGAAGUGCAUCAUAAACUAAACCUCGGUGUGUGUAGAUGCAAUGCAAUGCAUAAAGAGAGAGAAAGUUCACCACUAGAACACACCCUUUGAAGACCUAGAAUAUAGAACCAUCAACAAGAGACAUACGAUUAGAUUAGUAAGUGAGCAUAGAAGAAACAAACUUCAACCCCCUUUGAAACAAACGUUAUGAGUAGAAGGCAAACGAAUAUAAAUAUGAUAUUUCAAGUGAAAACCAAGACAUUAAAAAGGCAAAGGAAUAUAAACUUUGUAUGCCUUACAUAAAAAAAAAAACAAUGAAUAUGCGCUUGGAUUUUUAUUUUGCCGCAUGUGGUGGAGUUUAGUCUACAUCACUCUAAUGUCAUUCCCGCGUGGGAGGGAUUUUUGCCUCCAUCUUUUCAAAUACACGAGGGUAGGGUGUAGCCUACAUCUUUUUGACAAACACAAACUCAAGAAGUGCAAUACCAUGAUAACGUGCAACACAAGAACUAACAUCUCUUGAGUGCAUCCGUCAGAGCAUGACCCUCACAACCCCAACGGGUUCUUAGCCAACUGAUAUUGCUUUAAAGACAAUCAAAUGGCUGGGGAUAAAGUGAGUCAUUGACCACUAACAAGAGUUGUAAGAGGAAGAUAAGAAUACUCAAUAACACAAACAACAAGAUGAACACUAACCAAAACAAAGGAGAGAUAGCUCAAGAUAACAUAAAUACUCGAGAGAUAGAGAAGUUCUAUGAGUUCAAAGAAUAUGUAAGUGGUUUCCAAAAACUCCCAUUAUACAAGCAUGUCGUGCACUGUGCAAACAAGCGAGGAAAAAUGCAUGAUACAUACCAAAACAUACUUAAGAGUUCAAAAAGAGAAAACACCCAAACAUAUUGCAACUUAUUUAAGACAAUCGAAUUAAACCAAUGUCUCAGAAAAGAUGUAACCAACAACACAUACAUGGAAUAAAUAAAGAAAAAUAGAAGGAAUAACCAACAAUGUAUUCAGACAUGCAACAUGAUCUGCAAGCUGAACAAACAAAGCAUAAAAAGUAGAAACACCAAACAGAUAGCCUAUGUGGUUAGAGAAAUAUGCAAUUCAAAUAACACAAGGCUAGAAACAACCUACAUCAUCCCAAAUAUGAGACACCACCAGACUUUUGCAAGUCCAGAAAAACCUGCAACUUAUCUUUUCUUACCCAUACUUGUUUAACACUAGGCGUGCACACCUUGGGAGUUGAAAAGAUAUGAGAUCUUCCCUUAACAAGCUUUUCAAUAGACUUGUCCUUAACUAGUUUCACCUUAGUCUUUGACUUCCUUUUGUCGGAGUGCCUGUUUUUCUUAAACCUAUGAGAAGAAGCAUUAAAAGUCCGAGGUCUAGAAAAUGCACAAGAAGAAACAUAAGAAUCAACAUGAUUAUAACGAUGAGGAACACGAGAAUAGGAUGCAACAUGUUGAUUAAAAUCCCAACAAAAGAUAUUCAAAUGACCAAUUCUACCACAAUAAGAACAAUGAAAAACAUCAGAAUGUCUCAAAGAGGUUUUAUAAGAAGAUAAGGCAGUCGUGGGUGAAACAUGUAAGUCACCAUUGUGUUUGUGACAUUGUCCCUUAACAAAACCUGUACCUCCAGUAUGAGAACAAGACGUCUUACCAGCAAAAACAACCUUACCAUUAGCCUUAGACUUAAACUUUAUGCGAGAAACAUGUUGAAAAGUAUUAGUAUUAAGUCUAGUCUCAAUAGGUGGGGUAGGCAAAAGGGCAGGCAAACUAGUAGAUUUUACAGGAGUAAUCACACUAGAUGAACUAGUAGAACUAUCAAUAGGAGAAUCAAAUCUAGUUUUGUCCACAACCUGCAAUUGGAGUUGAGUAGACGUUAAAUCGUUCUUUGUUACCUCAUACUCCACCAAUAGAGAUUUGUAUUUCUCAUCGACCUCCUGAUUGGCCUUCUCUAAAGCUGCAAUUCUACAUAACAAGUCAAGUUUUUCUUUGUCAAAUAAUUGAGAAAUAGAAAUUGUAUCAUCUGCAGCACAAGAAAUCUGUUUUUCAAGAAUCUCAAUUUUAUCCUGCAAAGAAAGAUUAGCCUUUUCCAAAUUUUCAAUUUUGGAUUCAUAAACUUCCCCUUGAAGCAUAUAGUCCUCUGCACAAUGUCUGAGUCGUUGUUCUAGAGAAUCAACCUUAGUCUGCAAAACACCAUUAUCUUCAAAACAAACAUUAUCAGAAAUAGUAGACACAUUACAAUUAGCUUUAUUAAAUUUUUCCUGCAAAUCAAUAUUAGCUUUUUGUAAUCUUUCACAUUCUUUUGCAGAAAGUCUGUAAAGAAGAGCCCAAUCACUAUUGCUAACAACAUACAAAUUAUCAUCCUUUUCAAAAUCAGAUUUUGGUUUUGUAGAUUUAGACGAUUUAGCAAUAAAAUUAUUAUGACCAGACUCAUGAACCAUCAUUGCACUCAUAGGAUCGUUAGCGUGAGCCUUGACGCUCCUUAACCAGCCCCCAGCGACUGAUACCAAUUGUAAAACUACAAAUAGUGCAAAUCUAAUAAUUGAAUAUUCAAACAAAUCAAACGAUACGCAGAAAGUAAAUAACACACAGGAAUUUUUAACGUGGUAAAACCCAAUAUGGGAAACGUCCACGGUUGUCCUCUCGACAACAAAUAAAUCCACUAGAUGAAAAGAGAUGUAUAAACCUAUCAACUACCUGCAAUCACUGCGAGUUGAUACUCCUGGUUAUCUCUAACACCUUGACUUCACCAGAGCACCUUGAUGUACGCACAAGACACUCGACUUCUUGAUGAACACACAAGAAGACUCGAAGUCGAACUAUGAAACAAGCUUACACCAGAGUUCCUUGAUGAACACACAAGGAUACUCGACUUCUUGAUGAACACACAAGAAGACUCGAAGCUAAAUCAAUAUAAACAAUAAUGAAGAAGAAGAUGAAUGGGGAAGAAGAAGAUGAGUUCAAUCACCAAAACCACCUAAACCAAAAACCUAAACAAACUCCAAGAAACAAGAGGUGAAUUGGACGGCCAAAGAACUGACUUGUUCUUUGGAAGAGAAACCCUAUUUAUACUUAGGGUUGGAAACCAAGGAAAGUGGGCCGAAAUAGUGCAAACCGACUUUGGACGUACGUACAUCGAUAUGACGUUCGUACGUCUCCACACGAAAAUAAGCCUGCUGUCUACUUGGACGUACGAACGUCCUGUAAAGGUACGUACGUCCAGAAUGCAAACUUCCCGGCUGACUAUCCAUACGUACGUACGUCCUUCCAUGGUACGUACGUUUACCAAGAUAAACGUUCUGCUGACUACUUGGACGUACGAACGUCCUAACAAGGUACGUACGUCCUGAACCAAAAACCACACUAAUGACACAUGACGCGAAGACAAGGACACGGGACGACGCGCGUACAACCAGGUUUUCUUAACAAUGAACUCAAGGCGAAAUAACCAGGGACACUUUGUCACAAAAUUGAUGUCAAACCACUUUGUGCCGGUUUCAGAUACCACUAAUAGUGAUUCAAAAUUUACAAAAGUUUUUUAUCAAAAGAUUUCUCUAAAUUAUGACAUGCUAAAUGACAGGCUUAGUAUUAAUGUCCUGAGUAAUGAUCAGACCUUAAUUUUAAAUGUUAUUAAUAAAAUAUCUAAUCCUGUUGAAAAAAGACAAGUUUUUCAAAAUUAUUUGGAAAAUAAUUCUAAGACUCUUUCUUCUUUUGAUAAUACUGAUUCUAGUUCUAUGAUUAGUAGAUCUACUAUUUCUGACCUUAAAGGUGAAAUUAAUAAUCUUAAAUCAGAUAUUAAAAUCUUAAAGGAGAAAAUUUUCUUAUCCCAGAUUCAAACAAAUUCUAAUCCUUUAUCAGAAUUAGAGAAUACUGGGGAUUUAUUAUCCUUAAAUCACCCUACCAAUCAAAAAUGGCAUAUUAAAGUAAACCUGGUUAUUAAUCAAGAAUUUACUUUAGAAACUAUUGCUUUGGUUGAUAGUAGUUCCGACCUUAAUUGUAUAAGAGAAGGUUUAAUUCCUACUAACUAUUUUGAAAAAACUAAGUAUGCUUUGAAUACUGCUAAUGGUUCUCCUAUGAGAAUCAAUUAUAAAUUAUCUGAUGUUUUUGUUUGCAAUGAUGGUAUUUGUAUUAAUACCUCUUUUGUUUUAUCCGAUAAUUUAUCUCAAAUGGUAAUAUUAGGAAGACCCUUUUUUAACCUUAUUUGGCCAAUUGAAAGAAUUGAUAAUAGUGGAAUUCACACGACUAUAAAAGGUAAAAAGAUAGUGUUUGAAUUCGUCACUAAACCUAAGAUUAACUAUCUUAAUCAAUUACAAGAAACUUUGUUUUUAAAAGAAAAACAAAUUAAUUUUUUAUCUCAGGAAAUUGGAUAUGCUUCUAUUAACAAACAAUUAAAGCAAUUUACUAUUAAAGAAAAAAUCCUUUCUUUAGAAAAACAAUUUCAAAAAGAGAUAUGUAGUGAUGUUCCUAAUGCUUUUUGGGACAGAAAACAACACAUUGUUAAAUUACCCUAUAUUGAAGGUUUUAAUGAAAACAUGAUACCUACUAAGGCUAGACCUAUUCAAAUGAAUAAAAUUUAUAUGGAAUUAUGUAAGACUGAAAUCCAAGGUCUUUUAGAUAAACAGCUUAUUAGGAAAAGCUUUUCUUGUUGGAGUUGUGCAGCUUUUUAUGUUAAUAGAAAUGCUGAACGAGAAAGAAGAAUUCCUAGAUUAGUUAUUAAUUACAAACCCCUUAAUAAGGUUUUGCAAUGGAUUCGUUAUCCUAUUCCUAAUAAAAAGGAUUUAUUAAAAUGGUUAAUUGAUACUCGCAUAUUUUCUAAAUUUGGUUUAAAAUCAGGGGUUUUGCCAGUUCAAAUUACUGAACGAAAUAAUUAUAUAACUACUAUUCCUUUUAGUCAUGGAAUGUUAUGGAUGUUUAUUUAAAAAUAUUCCUAAAAAAAUUAUGAAUUAUGAUUUUUACUUAUACUGAAUUCGGUAUUGUUUAUAUUGAUCUUUUCUAAAUUUUAUUGAUCAGCAUUUUAAACAUCUAAAUACAUUUUCCCAUCUUAUUAAGAAAAAUGGUUUAGUUGUUUCUGCAUCAAAAUUGAAAAUUUUAAAUUAUUUUAAAAAAAAAAAAAAAGACAUAAUAUUUGUCAAAGAAAACAUCAUCCUUAUUGACAGGUCUAAUAAAAGAUAAAACUAUUUCAAAGGGUUUUAGUAGCCUUAAUUUUAUUUCUAGUCAUCAUAAAGAUUUAGCUUCUUGGCAUCAAAAUUCUUUAUGAAUGAAUUUGCAAAAAUCCUGAACCUUGGUUUUCGAUUUUAACAAUAACGGUUCAGAAAAUAAAAGAUAAAAAAUUGCUUUAUUUAUCACUUGUAAAUCCUAAUGGAUGGAAAAUUAUUAAAAUAAUAUUUUCGAUAUUCAAGGAUCAGCUUACCUUGUCUAUUGAGAUAGAUACAUUUCCAUCAUGUUUGAAGGAUUAAUUUAUGUCUAAUAAGACAAUAACAUAUUUAUCUCCAUCCUAAUUGAAGGAUUGAUUUAUGUCUAAUAAGACAACAAAAUAUUUCCGUCCUAAUUAAAGGAUUGGUUUAUCCUAAUUGAAGGAUUGAUUGAUGGUCUCCAAUGGGACAAGAGUAUUUCCAUCCUAAUUAAAGGAUUGGUUUAUCCUAAUUAAAGGAUUAAUUUAUGAUGUCUUAUAAGACAACGAAUCCAAUAUUUUGACUAAUUUGUCAUAAUGAUUCAUUUUGUCUAAUAAGACGACAACUGCCAUAAUAUUUAUGUCUUAUAGACGAUAAUUGAUUUCUUGACAGGAAUGACUCCUCUUGGUCAGAAAUCUGGUCCUAAUUCGGACUCCAUGAAGGGAAAAGGUAAAACUUCCUCCCUUCUCCCCAAAAUAGGGAUAUUUUCUCCGGCCAUUAAUGAUAGAAAAAGAGAAAUUAGUCAAUCAACAGACUAUGACUGUGGUACUAUAAUAUUUUCGAAAGAGCCCAAUGGGGAACUUUUUACCCUUACAAAGGAUGAUGAUGAAUGGGUAAAAAAGCCUGUUUACUUUGGUACCAGAAACUGGGGUCAGGGGACUUAUAGUCCAAAUAUCAUUUAUAAUCACAGAAAUUUCUACGAAGCUAUUUUGCUUGAGACCAAUUCUGUCCAUCUGGAUAAUUCUCCAACCACUAUUAGCCAAUUUUCUUUACCUAUUCGGAAAGCCGUUAUUCAUAACGUCAUAGAACAAAAUGAAUGGGGUAAUCCAGAAUCCGCUAGAACCCUUAUUGGUCCUUUUUUCAAAGCUAAACCCUUUAGCAACCAAAAUUUUUCAUACUGGGAUUAUAUGGACGCUUGGACUUUUACUUUUUCCCACCAAAUCCCUGAAGAAAAAUAUUCUUGGAUGUUCUACUUUUCUACCAAUUUUGAAAAGAAAACAAUUCCCGCCUGGUUUAAUAAUUGGUGCUUUAAAUUUAAUCCUCCAGUUAACUUUGCUCCAGCCAAGUUAACAAUUCUAAAUUAUAACUUCAAAAGAAAUUCUUCUGGUGAAAUAGAAUUUACUGAACAUCACACUACUUUUUCAUGACAAAAUUCCUAAGUCAUCUAUUAUUUCCCACCUUAUCACAGGACAAAUAACUGUUCAAUUUCUUGUUAUUAUUCAAAACUUUCUCCUUUCAUGGCCCACAAGUCAUUCCAAUUUCCUGGUUUAUUAGCCAUUCACUUUCCAUCUUUCAAAGCAAUUCUAUUAGUAUUCCCGUGAGUCAAUGGAACCACUUUGUUAAUCUACUCAAUUAUCAGACUCCAAGACAAAAGAUGGGGUCCACACAAUAAGACAAUUGAUCUACAGAAGAAACCCACUUAUCCGACUAAUCAGCCGACUAUGGGGUCUAUAACACCUGCAAAUUACUCUGCCGACAUCAAAAGCUACUAUUUGAUAGGGGCUACGACUAUGGGGUCUACAACACCCGCAAAUUACUCUGCCGACAUUAAUAAUGUGCGCUUCUAUUUGAUGGGGUCCACCACUCACAAGGUGCCUAAUGGGACCCGGCCACUAAGAAGAUGCUCUCAACAGGGCCCACACACAAGGUGCUCAAUGGGGCCCACCCACUAGCAAAAUGCCCAAUGGGGCCCACUUCUCACUUUCAAUUUGCCUAUAUAAAGAGGCAUUUUCCAAUGAAGAAGAAACAAGCUCAGACAUUCUCUCCCUCUCUAAAGCUCGACAAUCUCCAGCAAGCCUUCUCCCUUACUCUCUUAAGCCUUCUCCUCUCUUCUCUUCCUUUCUCUACUUGUAAUCUUUUCUUCUGUAACCUUUCCCUUUUCUUUUUCAACUUGUAAUCUUUUGGUGUGCUUAGUAUCUACCUGAAACUUUAUUCAGGGGGUAUAUAUAUGUGAAUUACUCAAGUAUCUGUAAGUUUUCUUUUCUUUUCUUUGUAAUUAUUUUAGUUUUUAAUUUCAUGUGAAUAAAGCUUUCAGUAUUUUCUUCUGUUCUUUUUCUUCUUCUGUUCUUCUUCUUCUUUAAUUUCUGUAUUUUAAUUUUAUGUUUUAAGUUAUAAUUCUACUAACAGCAUUUUGCCGUUAGAAAACACCUGUUCUGGUGUUGUGGAAAUAAGAAUGACUUCAUCCUUAUCUUCUAGGCUGACGUUAAUAUCACUGUCAGUUUUCUCAAGAAUGACAUCAUGUUCAUUCUCUGGUCUGACGUUGAUAUUACUGUCAACGUUUCUAGAAGAAACGAGAAUGGUAUCAUUAUUAUCCUCUAGGGUGAUAUUAAUACCACUGUCAGUAUUCGCAAGAAUGACAUCAUGCUCAUCCUCUGGUCUGACAUUGAUAUUACUGUCUCCAAUAUUCUCAAUUUUAUCAGAUACAGUAUUAAUAUCUUGUGAUAAAUUAAUAAUAUUAUUAUCAGUCAAAGUCUCGAUCAGUUGAUUUUGACUUAAAUCAUCAGAUUGUUUUUCAAGGAGAAAAUAGAUUUUAUCGAGUUCAGGUCUAUUAACCGUAUUAUCAAUAUUGAUAAAUUUACUGAUUGGUUGUAAAUCUGAAAUAACCUUAGUUAACUUUGUCUCUUCUGAGAUUGGUUGUUUAGGAACAACUGAUUUCAGAAUAAUAGAUUCAUCUUUAGGAGAGAUCGAUUGCUUGGGAACAGCCGAUUUCUCAAUAGGUUCAUCUAUUACAGGAGACUUAGUAGGAAGAUUAUCAGGUUUAGAACUUUUAUUAACAGUAUUGGUCCAAUAAUUAAUAUAGCUUUUAGCUACAUAUGAUUCUAGAAUAUUACCCAUUUCUUGCACAUAUUGUGCAAAUGGAAUAAUAAAUCUAAUCUCAUCUAAAUGCUUAUAAUAAUUUGUUUUAAUAAACGCAUGUUGAGCUUCAUUAUAAUUUUCCCAAUACCAUUUUCGAAAGCCAUCAUACUCUGAACUAUUCCAUUCAUUAUUGAUGGCCAUUCGAUCAAUGAUAAAUUCCUUGGUUGGGUCUAUUGAAUACCAAAUAGUAUUUUUAAUUCUCUCCCUAUAAGGGAUUGCCAAAGGAUUAAAGUAUCUAUCAUUUUGAUUCAUAAUUAAAUAUUAAAAACUAGAUAAUUUAUGACUCGAAAGGUAAAGUGUCAAUAAGGAGUUAGGGAUCAUGCAGAUCUUUACUCAAAAGUAAUUAUCCUGAUAUAAAACAUAAAAGAUUAAAAUUUCAGAUCAUUAAUCAUGACUAAUACUGACAGUCAGCGAUUUAAGUCACGACUAAAACUAUUUCAUAUCCUAAUUUAUGAUAAAUAUCAAUAGUCAACGAUUUAUGUCACAGCAAAUAAUAAUCUCAUAUCCAAAAUUAUGAUGAACUUCAACAGUCAACGAAUAAAAUCCCUAAACGCCUAACGGCCAUCUGCCUGCGGCUAAACGGGAAACAACGCGACGAAGUCUAUGUUCAUCAUAACUCAGAACACUUAACUAUUACAGCUGGAGACUACAAGUAGUCCAACGCGACGAUGUCAAAAGACUAAUCAUAAAUCUCUUUUAAGAGAAUAGAUAAUAUUACUAACAAGAUUUUAAGCAAUAGAGGUCGAUUUACACAUAAGUGCUCAGACCCUCAUCACCGCUGCUGUCAGAGGCCACCAGUAGCAGCUUGACAAUCCAUUCCCCUUACAAAAGGGUUGCAGUGCUCCAAAGGAGUUGCUAUGUUCCUUGAUUAGGAAUAUUCUCCAUAUCUUAAUGAAGAACUGAAACAGUAUCAUCGUUCUUAUCUCGAAUAAUUACUGUUGGUCAAGCCACUACAUGUUCCCCAACAGUAAUUUAAGAUAUGGUUAAUCCUGCUUUAAUUGUGAAUUAGCGCCAUCUACAGAAGAAACAUAAUUUUGGUGUGCUUAAUUUUGGUAUCAGCGCCAUGUCAGCGUAAAUUACUGUUGGGGAACAUGUAGUGGCUUGACCAACAGUAAUUAUUCGAGAUAAGAACGAUGAUACUGUUUCAGUUCUUCAUUAAGAUAUGGAGAAUAUUCCUAAUCAAGGAACAUAGCAACUCCUUUGGAGCACUGCAACCCUUUUGUAAGGGGAAUGGAUUGUCAAGCUACUACUGGUAGCCUCUGACAGCAGCGGUGAUGAGGGUCUGAGCACUUAUGUGUAAAUCGACCUCUAUUGCUUAAAAUCUUGUUAGUAAUAUUAUCUAUUCUUUUAAAAGAGAUUUAUGAUUAGUCUUUUGACAUCGUCGCGUUGGACUACUCGGUAGUCUCCGACUAAUAAUUGUUUUGUAUUUGAUUUAUGGUUAUUAUCAACUCUGUCGCGUUGGACUACUUGUAGUCUCCAGCUGUAAUAGUUAAGUGUUCUGAGUUAUGAUGAACAUAGACUUCGUCGCGUUGUUUCCCGUUUAGCCGCAGGCAGAUGGCCGUUAGGCGUUUAGGGAUUUUAUUCGUUGACUGUUGAAGUUCAUCAUAAUUUUGGAUAUGAGAUUAUUAUUUGCUGUGACAUAAAUCGUUGACUAUUGAUAUUUAUCAUGAAUUAAGAUAUGAAAUAGUUGUAGUCGUGACUUAAAUCCCUGACUGUCAGUAUUAAUCAUGAUUAAUGAUCUGAAAUUUUAAUCUUUUAUGUUUUUAAUUCUGGAUAAUUACUUUUGGGUAAAGAUCUGCAUGAUCCCUAACUCCUUAUUGACAUCUUCACUUUCACGAUAUUCUGUUAGUUUUACUGCUUUGUUUAAUAUGUUUAAUAUGUUUAAAAAUAAAAAGAAAUUUUUAAAAAAUGAAGAAUGUAUUGAAAUCUCUAAUAUAGAGAAAAUGGAAAAUGAAUUAUUAAAUUGGGAUAUGCCUAGAAUUGAACCUAAAAGGAUUUAUAACAUUGGUUCUUUUGAUUAUAAAGUCGCUAUGUCUAUUAAGACAGUAGAACAUACCAUGCCAAUUAAUGGAAAUAAAAAAUCUAUUCCUCUAAUAACUGAGCAAGAUAUUACUAGAUAUCGUCAAAAUUAUCACUACAUCCAUAUAGGAUUAAUUCAAAUUGCUGUUAAACCUUUACACCUAAAAGGAAUUGAUUGUUGUUUUCUUCUAGCCCUUAGAGAUGCUAGAUGCACUAAUUAUCAAAAAUCCUUAAUGGGUAUUAUGGAAUCCACUACGAGUAAUGGACCCGUUUACUGUAAUAUUUACCCUAAUCUGGAGUUAUCCCUAUCUGAUGAUAAUAUCAUGCAAAGUGUUAUGAUGGACUUAGAUACUAAAGGAUAUGAAUUCCUUUCUGGUUCUGAGAUUCUUAAUAUUGCUUAUAGAAUCCAAUUUAAAGUUAUGAACACUUUAAGUCCUAAUGCUAAAUUAAUUAGUAAUAAAGGCAAUACAACCAUUAUUGAAACAAAUUUGGGAAAGUCCAAUAUGGCUUGUAAUAAAAUUAUUCCUUGGGAUCAGAUUAGUUAUCCUGAGAACUGGGAUCACCAGGGAAUUAUCCCUGCCCAACCUGUUAAUAGGAACUUAGAUCAAAUCAUCCAGAACCCCGAAGGUGAUAUUGAAAUAAGAUUUUCCUCUAACAGGAUAUCCCGGCUUAGAUCUGUAAAAAAUUUCUAUUAUCAGGAACCAUCUAGAGCUUCUACUUCUAGUAUUCCUGAUAAAAUAAAAUCUGAAUUAGAUGAUGAAUUUGAGAUUAAAGGAAUAAAAGAAUCUAACAAUGCUAUUCCUCAUGGUCUUUAUAAUAGGACUUCUGCCCUCAAUCCUACCCCUUCGGAAAUGAAUUUUUCUAUUAAUAUAAUAGAAUUAAUCAAUGAAUUUAAAAUUGAUAGGGUAGCCAUCCAUAACGAAUGGAAAAAUCCUAAAUAUGAUGCCUUUCGAAAAUGGUAUAAUGACCAGUAUAAUGAUGAACAACAUGAAAUUUUGAAAGAAAAUUAUUACAAUUAUUUAAGUGAUACUAAGAGUAUUAUUCCAUUCGCGCAUUAUGUGCUGGGAUGGGAUAGGACUUUAGAAUCAUGUGUUAUCAAAGAAUUUUAUAACAAUUGGACUACCACUGAUAGUAAAAAUAUUACUUGUACUCAUCCUCCUACCCAGCCUUUAAAAUUAAUCAAUGAGUCAUCUAUUCUAGAAACGGUGGCUUAUAUUCAACCUUCCGAUAAGGAUACAGAAUUAAAUAAGGUUUUCAAACAGUCCAAUUAUACUAAUUUAUGUCUACAAACUAUUGGAAGACAAUUAAUACGCAUUGAAGAUGUUGUUAGCAAACCAGAACCCAAUAAAGAGGUUUUUCCUGUUAAUAUUAAACCUCCUCCUGAUAUGAAGUUUAAUUUAGGAAAUAAUAAAUUAAGUCAGGACGAUUUUAUGGAAGAACUUACUAGAAAGUUGAAGGAUAUAAAAUUAACCAAUAAUCAUAUCGAUGUGUUAUCACAAAAUGAGGAUUUAUCUAGUAAAGAUAUUGAAGAAUUUCAAAAUAUAUUACAUAAUAUGGAACAGGAAGUUAAUGAACUGGAAUUUAGCAAAUCCAAUAAAGCCAAAAUACCACCUACUAGGACUUAUUAUCCCAGACCUACCACUAUGGAUAUUCUUAAUGAAGAAGAUUACAUUGCUGUCCAAACAUCAUAUAGUGCUAAGACUAUAUAUGAAUGGAACAUAGACAGUUUAUCUGAAUAUAUGAUAUAUGUCACUCUGCAUAGAAUUCUUAUGUUUGCUACUGUUUGCAAAAAUUCUAAUAAUACUGAUAAGCAAACAGCCGGUUGUAUUAUAGCCGGUUUUACGGGGCAAUUAAAAGGAUGGUGGGAUAACCUUCUUACCCCUAGCCAAAGAGAAGAGAUUCUUGGUUCGGUUAAAUUAGAAAUUAAUACCUCAGGCCAACAAUCCCACAUUGAGGAUGCUGUUUAUACUUUAAUUCAAACAAUAAUUAAACAUUUUAUCGGUAAUACUAUUACCGCUAAUGAAAGAGGUAAAGAUUUAUUCAUGAAUUUGAAAUGCCCAACUUUAACUCAUUUUCGUUGGUACAAAGAUAUUUUUUGGCAAAAAUCACGAAUAGACAUGAUGGUAAUAAUGCCUUUUGGAAAGAAAAAUUUAUUUCUGGAUUACCUAUUCUUUUUGCUGAAAAAGUCAAAAAUAGACUUAAAAACAAACAUGAUGGGAUUCAAAUUCCUUAUGAUUAUUACACUUACGGAGAACUUAUUAGUGAAUGCACUUCGGAGGGUUUAGCCCUUUGUAAUGAUAUUCGGCUUAAGAAUCAGCUUAAGAAACAAAAUUUAACCGGGAAAAAAGAAUUAGGUCAAUUUUGUGAACAAUUUGGGUAUGAUAUACCUAAACAGAAAGAUAAAACUGAUUUAUCAAAAAGAUUUUCUAAGAAAUAUUUCAGAAGAAAACCUUAUAAAAGACCUGACCAGGUCUUUCCUAAACAGAAAUCUAAUUUCUCCCCUAAAGAUAAUAAAGGGAAUGUUAAAAAUAUUACUUGCCAUAAAUGUGGUAAAAAAGGUCAUUAUGCUAAUCGGUGUUAUUCUAAAACCGAUAUUCGUAAACAAAUCAACGAAUUAGGCAUUGAUGACAAUAUUAAAAAACAAAUUAACCAAAUUCUGGAUAAUAGUGAAACUUCUAGUAACUACUAUUCGGAUAAUUCUUCUGACCAAAUCAUGGAAGUUGAGGAGCUCACUAAUAGUGAGUCCGACAAUAGUAAUAAGUCUGAGAAAGGAUGUUCUGCACACUGCAAGACUUCCCAAGACUAUUACAAAGCUAUUAUUGAUAUGAAUGGCCUUAGUAUAAAUGUUUUGUCUGAAAGCCAAACUUUAAUUCUUGAUAUGAUUGACAAUAUUGUCGAUCCUACUGAGAAAAGACAGGCUAUUGAAAAAUAUAUAAAAGACUCCUAUAAUAAUAGGUUAAAUUCUAGUAUUAUGGAGCCUUAUUCUUUGCAAAAGGUUUUCGACAGAAUAGAAUCAAAACCUUUGAUUAAAGAAGUUCCUAUUUCUGAAUUUAGAAAAGAAAUAGACAAUUGCAAAACCGAAAUUAAUAAUCUAAAAUGGAGAAUUUCCCGUUUGGAGAAGAAAGAUACUCUUCCUAUUCCUAUCAUCAAUAAGGAUGAAAGUAAAGGGUUAUUAUCAUUAGAUAAUAAUAAUCAGAAAUGGUAUGUUAAUAUCAAACUCAUGAUUCAGGAUUUCAUUUUAGAAACUAUUGCCCUAAUAGAUAGUGGAUCAGACCUAAAUUGUAUAAGGCAAGAUCUAGUGCCUUCUAGAUAUUUUGAAAAGGUCCAUUGUGCCUUGAAUACUGCAAACAGUUCUCCUAUGGAGAUAAAUAAUAAACUAUCAAAUGUUUUAAUAUGUAACAAUACUAUUCGUAUAAAAACCUAUUUUGUUCUGUCUAACACUUUAUCCCAAAUGGUAAUUUUAGGAAAACCUUUUUUAAGCCUUAUCUGGCCCAUCGAAAGAAUUGAUGAUGAGGGUAUUCAUACUAUCCUUAUGGGAAAAAAGGUUAUUUUUGAAUUUAUCAUAAAACCUGAUAAGGACUAUACCCAACAAUUAAAAGAAAAAAGGGUUUUUGAAAUAUUUGAGGAACAUUCUAGUUCUGAAAUCAAUAUUCCUCUUAUCUAACCAUAUUCUUUUUGUAACAGGAAAUCUCCUGAUUAAAGAAUUGAUUUAUGUCUAGUAAGGCAAAUACAUAAUUAUCUCCAUCCUAAUUGAAGGAUUGAUCUACGUCUAAUAAGACGAUAAAUUUCUAUCCUAAUUCAAGGAAUCAAUUAUCCUAAUUAAAGGAUUUAUAGUUCUCUAAUGAGACAAAGAGUUGUUCCAUCCUAAUAAGAGGAUUGAUUUAUGAUGACUAAAUUGUCAGAAUGAUUCUUUCGUUUUAAUAAAAUGACACUUGCUUCAAUUGUUUUGCAGGAAUGAAUACUCCUAGCAGAAAUAAUCCUAAUUCGGAUUCUAUUAAGAGAAAACGAGAAAUAUCUUUCUCUCCUCCCAAAUGGGAAGAAUUAUCUCCUUCCUUAAAAGAAAGGAAACAAAAUAUCAGUAAGUCCUCUACAGAAGAUAAUAAUACCAGAUCAUAUCUGAAGAAUUCCAAUGAAUUAAUUUUUGACCUUACUAAUAACGACAUGAUGUGGUUAUACUCACCCAUCUAUCGUGGUUUGGAAAAUUUUGACCCAGAGACUAAUAGUCCCUCCCAAAUUCUUGAACGUAGAAAUUUCUACGAAUCCAUUUUAAUUACGACCAAUUCAGUCUCUUUUUUCUAAGGUUAAUAACCGAUUUUCUAAACCUUAUCGUAAUGCUCUCAUUCAUAAAAUAAUAGAACCUCCCGAAUGGGGUGAACCAUUUAUUACCAAACCUCUUAUAGGUCCUUUUCCUCAUUUCAACAAUCUUCGGACCUUCAAUCAUUGGGACUAUAUGGAUGCAUGGACAUAUACAUUCUUUCAUCAAAAUCCCCAACAAGAAUAUUUCUGGAAUUUUUCCUUUUCCCCCGAAUUCAGCAGUACUAUACCUACCUGGUUCUUUAACUGGUGGUUUAAAUUUAACCCAGGCAUGAAUUAUAUUGCCUCCGACAUAACAAUUUUAAAUUACCAUUUUAUAUUAAAAUCAGAUGGUCAAAUAGAAUUGACAGAUUACAACCCACCUUUUUCAUGGAGAAUUAUGGCAAAAGACUCACAAUUAAACCAAACUUUUCAGAAUUUUGGUAUCUAAUACUACCAUCUCUUUUCUAGAGAAAAAGUAUCGAUCCAAAUUACCGACCAGCUUAAUCGUAAGGAUCUAUAAUUAUUGAACUCCGACACGAAUGAUGGAGUCCACAUAACAGGUUAAUCAACCUACUAUAGGGUCCACAACACCCACGAGACAACAGGUUAUUCUACCGACAAUUAUGGGGUCUACAACACCCACAAGGCAACAGGUUCCUCUACCGACAACAAAGUGCCUAUUAUUCACUGAGGCUUACCCACUUACAACUGGGGUCCACACAUUAUCACAAGAUGCCAAAUGGGGUCCACCAGAAGAUGCUCAAUGGAGCCCACACAUCAUAAGGUGCCAAAUAGGGCCCACCCACUAGCAAGAUGCCCAAUGGGGCCCACUUCCCACUCUCAAUUUGCCUAUAAAAAGAGGCAUUUGUAAAGAAAGAAAACAAGCUCAGACAUUCUCUCCCUCUCUAAAGCUCGGACAAUCUCCAGCAAGCCUUCUCCCUUACUCUCUUAAGCCUUCUCCUCUCUUCUCUUCCUUUCUCUACUUGUAAUCUUUUCUCUACUUGUAAUAUUACUUAUAUAUAUAUUAUAUAUAUAAUAUAUAUAUAUAUAUAUAUAUAUAUAUAUAUAUAUAUAUAUAUAUAUAUAUAUUAUGAUGGUUUAUAGUCAGUAGUUCUACAAUAAUAUCUAUACUGUUCUUCACUGUUUCACUUGGGGAAGCUAUUGUAAAGUUGUUCCGAAAAGAAUAUUGCCUUUGGAAAUUGGAAGAGAUUGAAUAUGCAAAUGGGUUAACUAUACCCGACUGAUCCAAACCGAUCGCUUUUGUUCGGGUCGAUUGAUAAGUCCUCAAAAGUGUAUAUUUAUCCCCUGAAUAACACCUUGUUUGUCUAGCACUUAGCUUAUAUUAUUGUGUUAUAUCUAUUGAUUAGUGUUUUCUUGUCUAUUGUGUAGGUUUCAUGAGACGCAAUACGAAUAUUGUGUUAAAGCCCACCAAAAGUCAAGAAAAGCGACAAAAAAAGUGUUAUUUGCACUAAGGGAAGAGAAUUAAUAUUUGCACCCACAGAUCUGCUGAGGGCACCCUACGGUCAGUCCUGUUGACUUGACUAUAUGUCAAAGUGGGGAGGUCCGAAUCUCAGCCCAAACCGGGUCCUAUUGAAGCCCACAAGUCAGAAUUUCUAUUUAGGGCUUUUAUUUAAAGUCCAAACUUAAAAAAGCUCUACAAGGAGAUCCAGAAGUCUGAUUUGGGCCCAUGAGCUAUCAAACUGAAGGUCUGGUCCAAGCUACAACUUAAGCCCAAGAGAAUUAGGUUUUGCUAAAGACGUAAUGCUUCUAGAAGACCAACAGCAGCAGCCACGAAUUUGACCUAAUUUAGAUGUUUUUGCAUGCAAGUAUUAUUCUUUGUAUUUUCUAUAUAAGAGAAGUAGUAGCUAAGGUUUAGGUAGCUUUUGAAGAAUCAUUGAAUAGAGAGGAAAGUGAAUAUUUGUGACAGAAAAGUUCAUCUUCUUCUUUUUCUUUAUAUCAAAAACUCUAUUCAAUAUCAAUCCAUAUCUUUUCCAUUACGAUGUCUUGUGAUUUAUUUAUUUAUUCCAUGGUGUCAUCAUCAAGGAUGAGUAGCUAAAUCUCCUUAGUGGGAUGGUUGAAGUACUGUAGAUGAUGGAAAAGAACCAUGUUUGUUCUUAAUGUUCAUUGUGAUUCAAAGCUCUUAAUACUUAUUUACUUCUAAUUUGCGAUAUGAGAUAAGUAUGAUUAUUUGUAUGUUAUUGUUAUCCAUGUUGUUAAAAUACUAUUGUUAGGGUUUAGGGAGACCUAUCUUUAGUGGUUGUGUUCAUAUUGAUUGAAGAUGUGUAGUGAAAUAGCUGAGAGGUGAUUAUUACAUAUCUGCAGUUAGUAUCUUUUAUUGGAACCCUUUUGUAAUUAAAUCAAAUAGCUGAAAGGUGAUAGUUUAGUUAUGAAUUAAUAUAUUGAGUUAAUUAAAUUGAAUAGCUGAAAGGUGACGGUUUGAUUAAUAAGACAUAUUCAAUAGCAUGCAUAAGAGAAUCUCAUUUUAAUUGAGUGGAAUAGCUGAGAGGUGACUACUUGAUUAUUAUAGGUAUUGAUGAUUAAUUGGAAUAGCUGAGAGGUGACUAAUUAAUUAUCAUAGAUUGAACAUGAAGAAACAACAUAUUAUGUUUGCAUGAUUUAGUUUGUGGAUACCAAUUCUUCUCCCUAUGUCAUCAUAAGAUCUUCUUUUCAUCUUUACCAUCUUCUUAAGUUAGUUUAUUAUUAUUGCCUGUAGGAAGUAGAAUCAAUCUCUAUCUUAAUUAUUGAUUCCCUUGGUGUUCUUUAAUAAUUGUUUUCAAUUGUGUUUGAGCUAAGACCUUCACCUUGGAGGUGGGUACGACCCUUGCUUGUUACUUGUCUACUUUGUUAACCAAUUUAUAUAGGCACAAGAAGGAAAAUCUAUAAAAAUAUAAUCUUUUGUUUAGAGAAGGUAAAAACCCAAUCUAUCAUCGAUUGGGUCAGAUAUGGACUAGCUAAAAUUAAACCGGGUCGGAUACAAUAUUGAAUUUAGGAUCCAUUUCGGAUGCGGAUGGUUUUAGCAUACAAAAAAUGGAUCUAGACCUAGAUGACCGAUAAGUCCUCAAAAGUGUAUAUUUAUCCCCCGAAUAACACCUUGUGUGUAUAACACUUAGCAUAUAUUAUUAUGUUAUAUCUAUUGAUUAGUGUUUUCUUGUCUAUUGUGUAGGUUUCAUGAACCAAAAUGCGAAUAUUGUAUUAAAGCACGCCAAAAGUCAAGAAAAGCCACCAAAAAUAUGUUAUUUGCACAAGAAAAAGAAUCGAUAUUUGCACUCAUAGAUCUGCUGAGGGCACCCCACGGCUGGUCCUAUUGACUUGACUUUAUGUCAAAGUGGGGCGGUCCAAUUCUCAGCCCAAACCGGGUCCUAUUGAAGCCCACAACUCAGAAUUUCUAUUCUAGGCCUUUAUUUAAAGUCCAAUCUUAAAAAGGCUCUACAAGAAGAUCCAGAAGACUUAAUACCUCUAGAAGACCAACAGCAGCAACCACAAAUUUGACCUAAUUUGGAAGUCUUUGUAUGCAAGUAUUAUGCUUUGUAUUGUCUAUAUAAGAGAAGUAAUAGCUAGGGUUUAGGAUGUUAAUACAGUUUAUGUUUAAGAAGUCAAUGUUUGUAUUGAACUCAAUUCUUAUCAAUAUCAAUCCAUUACUUUUUCUUAUGAUGUUUCUAGGACGUUCUCGGCAGGAAUUUGCCUCGUGUUGCCGUAUUUUUCCAGGAUGUUCCAGAGCACUUUUUGAAUUAAUUGUUUUUCCCUGUUGAGUGAUUGUGAGGUGCACUAAGUAGUUUAAUUUUUCCAGCAUUUUUAAAGACUUGUAAGAUAUUUAAUUAUUCGAUCCACGAAGGGGUCGCGGUUGUAAUAUUUUUAAAGUAGGUGUUGCUAGGAUUUAUUUAUUGUGUGUUUGUGGAGGAUAGUAGAGCAAGGUUGUGGAGCUAGCCUUUAAUCUACUAAGGAACGAUUCCUAAGGACGAUUGAAACCCAAGGAGCGGUUUCCUAUUAGUCGACUUCAACUCGUCUUCUCCCCACUUUUGUGCGCUUGUUUGGCAAUUUUUACUUUUUAGCACAAAGUGGGAGGUAAGCAUUCUCCUAACCCUCCUUGAAUCCCUUGCAAGAGGAGUUUCUGUAAUGAUUAAGAUGACCUUGAUUGUUGUUUGAUUUUAAUUCUGUUUUUACUUGUUAAACCGGGACUGCAAGACGAACCUGGCCUAAAAUUUAAACCUAUAUCAAUUGAUUGCAAUAUCCUAAGCUUUAAAGUUCAAUCAACUAAAGCCAUGGUAUCACGAUGUUCAUUUGAGACCUUGAGCAAAUAUUUCAACUAGUACUGCGUGAACCAUUCUUUGAUUGGAGCACAAGCUAGGAAUUGGGUCUAGAACCCCUACAGAUUACGUCUGUAGAAUCACUGUGGUUAUUUAAUUAAAGAACGUUGCUUAUGCGGGGAAAACCUCCCACACUGGUUAUUCGCUACUUGACUCACGAAAUAUAGAGAGAAUUCACAAGGGAAUCUUGGAAAGAACUCAUUUACUUGGGUGAACACAAAAUUGAGUCAGUUUUUUAGCCCCUUGUUAGAUGUUUUUGAAUGAUUAGGACUUCUGUGGCAUAUGUAAUGUGCAUGUUGCAUGCAUCUUAAAUUUGAUAAAAUCUUGUCCAAACCUAUUUUAAUCUACACAAAGAGCACAAUCACGGACCUCACUCUUUAUCUUGAGGAAGAGUUUAACGACUCAACCUCCAUACCUUCCGAGGAAGAGUUCAACGACUCAACCUCACUUUCUGAAGUAACUCCUGCACCUAUGGCUCAAGAAGCUACCCUUCGGGAUUACUUUUUACCUUUGGCCACUGGGCCACCUACCUACAUAGUCUUGCCCGAGACAACUACNNNNNNNNNNNNNNNNNNNNNNNNNNNNNNNNNNNNNNNNNNNNNNNNNNNNNNNNNNNNNNNNNNNNNNNNNNNNNNNNNNNNNNNNNNNNNNNNNNNNGUAAAAAAGUAAUCCCGAAAGGUAGCUUCUUGAGCCAUAGGUGCAGGAGUUACUUCAGAAAGUGAGGUUGAGUCGUUGAACUUUUCCUAAGAAGGCUAUGGCAUUCGCCCACAGAUUGUGGGCAUGUUGCCUAAGUUCCAUGGACUUCCACAAGAAGAUCCAUAUCAGCACAUCAACAAGUUUCUGACCGUUCUUAAUACUUUUUAAGAAGAAAUACUUGUAUGGAGAGGAAGUUAGGUUGAGAUUGUUCCCCUUUUCUCUUGAGGAUCGAGCAUCUCACUGGUUGCAUGGCCUUCCUUCCAAUUCCAUUAAUACCUGGGCUCAACUUAGCAAAAAGUUCUUCACCAAAUUCUUUCCUGUUACCAAAACUAAUGACAUUGUUGAUACCAUUAAAAAUUUCCGGCAGAAAGAGUGCGAAAUAUUCUUUGAUGCAUGGGAGAGAUAUCAAGAACUAUUUCUUUAGUGUCCACACCACAAAGUCGAUGACCUUGAAAAAGUUAGGAUUAUAUUUAGAGGCCUUAAUACUAUAACUAGAAACAUGGUUGAAGGCAUGAGCGGUGGAGAUUUUCUUUAUUAUUCCACCGCCAAGGCUAUGGAAUUCCUUGAAAAAAUAGCUACUAAUAGCCAGCAAUGGGACAUACCUGGACAUACCCUGAUAAACACUACCCCAGACUCAUUUGAUAAACCUAGAGGCAUAUAUGAGGUCAAGCCUGACCCCAAGUUUAAAACUUUACUUCAUGGUUUAGUAAAAAAGGUAGAAGCACUUGAGGUAUCCUUAAAGCCCACAUCACAUGUUAUGAGUGUCUUCACUCUCCAAUGUGAUGUUUGUCAUGACCAUACCCAUACUGCCGAAUUUUGCCCUCUCCUUUAUAAUUCACCAGAAAUUGGGGAAGCCUAUGCGUUUAAUUAGGCCGGGAGGACCAAAUUUACUAAGGGCAAUGCCAUGUACCCAUACAUGGACCGCUCCAAGCCUCCAAUCUGUCUUAUUCCAAUAAUAAUUAUACGGCUCCACCUAGUUUUAACAACUCUUAUGAGCAACGUGGCAAUGCCACAUAUGUUGGUAAUAAUGAUAAUCGGAACAGGGUAACGGUCCCCUCUUACUCGAACAAUGUUCAUCACAUGAGUAUUUCCAGGCACCAAGUACAAACCAAUCAGUCUGCCCCUCCUAAGACCUCCCUUCAGGAUGUGCUUGCCAGUUUCAUUCAAAAAAUGCAAGCGUCCAUUGAUUUAUAUGCCCAAGCCAUCCAGAGGAUUGAACAAAAACUUGAUGAAAAGGGCAGAUUUCCGAGACAGUCCAUCUCGAACCCCAAAGGCAAGGAAGUUGCUUUGGUGACGGAAACUCCAUCUCCGUCUGUACCGCUUGUUGAAGUAAAAUCGGUUUCCACCUUUAGGUUCGGUAAACAGGUCGAUAAUCAUGUUAAUUAUGUGCCCAGUCCAAAUAUGUGACCACGAUUACCUCUGCACCUGUUGCCCCAUCUAAAGCUCCAGCUAAUAAGGUGACCACCUCUAAGCUGAAGAAGACUUCCCGUGAGAUUGGGGAUCCUCCACGAACUUACAACCCGCCCGUACCUUACCCCCAGAGACUCACAAGGUCUCUGAAGGAAGUCCAAGCAGAGGAAGUACUUAAUGUGUUCAAACAUAUAAAUAAUAACAUACCCUUCCUCACGGCCAUUAAACAGAUACCUUCCUAUGCCAAGGUUUUGAAAGAUUUGUGUACCACCAAGAGAAAAAACAAAAUGUGCCUAAAAACGUGUUUAUGGCGGAAGAAUUCUCUGCACUUGUCCAACAUAACGGCGUGGUUAAAUAUAAGGACCCUGGAAAACCGACCAUACCUUGUAAGCUUGGUGACAAGUUCAUGGGCAAAGCUUUGCUAGACCUAGGAGCGAGUGUUAAUCCUUUACAUUACUCCUUGUACCUCAGCCUGGGUCUAACAAACUUAAAACCCACGACCAUGUCUUUACAACUGGCCGACAGAUCAUUGAAAGUACCUAGAGGAAUAGUUGAGGACCUGUUAGUUAAAGUGUCUGACUUUUACUACCCCGUUGACUUUGUGGUGUUGGAUACUGAACCUACUGUCGAUGACUCGGUACCCAUUAUCCUCGGACGUCCAUUUUUUGCCACCUCUAAUGCUCUCAUAAACUGCCGGAACAGUUGUAUGGUUCUCACUUUUGGCUCUAUGACUGUUGAAGUAUAUAUAUUUAACCUUGGCCAACACCCCCCUGAUCUUUCUUUAUCUGAAGAUGUGUGCCUUCUUGACUCAUUACCUUAUGAAAUGGUGCAUAGUUAUUAUCCUGAAGAUCCGGUUAUUCACUGCCUUGCCAUGCAUAAUGUAGACUUUGACAUUGACCAAUAUAUUGCCCAAACCAAUGCUCUUCUUGAUACUGUGCCUAUCUUUGAACCUAAAGACCUUGAGGCUCUUGAUUCGGUUUGUAGCAUAGAUUCUGAGACCCAAGUUGAGACCAUCACUCCACAUCCUGUUACUCUGAGUCCUCUUCCUCGUAAGCUGAAAUAUGUUCAUCUUGAUUCACACGGUAGUCACCCUGUUAUUAUUUCUUCAUCUCUUACUACCGAACAGGAGAGUCAGCUUUUAGAAGUUAUCCAAGAGCAUCGUUCUGCUAUUGCAUGGUCUAUCCACGACAUUAAAUGUAUUAGCCCUUCUGUUUGUUCUCAUCGUAUUCAUCUUGAGGACGAUCUUAAAACUUCUCGUGAACCUCAGAGACAUCUUAACCCUGCGAUGAAAGAAGUUGUUCAUGCUGAAAUUCUCAAACUUCUGGAUGCAGGUGUAAUUUAUCCCAUUUUUGAUAGUCCCUGGGUUAGUCAUAUUCAAGUGGUUUCUAAAAAGGCCGGCAUGACUGUAGUUACCAAUGAUAAGAACGAAUAAGUCGCCACUAGAGUUCCAACCAAGUGGCGUGUUUGUAUCGAUUAUAGAAAGCUUAAUACAGUCACCAGGAAGGAUCACUUUCCUCUUUCCUUCAUAGACCAGAUGUUGGAGCGCAUGGCUAGUCAUUCCUUCUAUUGUUUCUUGGAUGGUUACUCCGGUUACAAUCAAAUUCCUAUCGCCCCUAAAGAUCAAAAGAUGAAAACCUUUACCUGUCCCUUCAGCACUUUCGUUUAUGCCUGUAUGCCUUUUGGUCUGUGUGAUGCACCUACUACCUUCCAGAGGAGUAUGUUACACAUCUUUAGUGAUAUAGUAGAACGAUUUAUGGAGGUGUUUAUGGAUGACUUUUCCAUAUAUGGUUCAUCUUUUGAAGAGUGUCUUAGUCAUCUUUCCUUGGUUUUUAAGCGUUGUAAUGAGAAGAAUUUGGUGCUUAACUAGGAAAAGUGCCAUUUCAUGGUUAGAAAGGGAAUAGUUCUAGCUUAUGUAGUCUCUCCUGAGGGUAUCCAGGUUGAUAAAGCUAAAGUAUAUCUUGUUUCAUCCUUGCCUAUUCCUAAGUCUAUUAGGGAUAUUCGAGCCUUUCUAGGCCAUGCAAGAUUCUAUCGACGCUUUAUCCAAGAUUUUUCAAAGAUAGCUCGCCCCCUAACCAAUUUAUUGCUUAAGGAUGCACCUUUUGACUUCACAAAAGAAUGCAAGAGCACAUUUGAAAAUCUUAAAACAACCCUCACGACUGCACCCAUCAUUAGGCCACCUGAUUGGAGUAAACCCUUUGAGCUGAUGUGCGAUGCAUCAGACUCUCAAUGAACGUAAUUAUACUACGAAUGAGAAAGAAUUGUUAGCCGUAGUAUUUGCUUUUGAUAAGUUUCGUUCCUACCUUUUAGGUACCUGUACUGCCAUCUUCACGGAUCAUAUUGUACUUAGAUUCCUCCUCUCCAAGAAGGAAACUAAGCAGCGCCUUAUUCGUUGGAUUUUGUUGCUUCAAGAAUUUGACCUUGAAAUUAAAGAUAAAAAAAGGACCAAAAAUGUAGUAGUCGACCACUUGUCUAGACUCGACCAUCCUGAGGAUUCUAGUGUCAUUUCUGAGAACUUUCCCGAUGAGCUUCUUUUCGCAAUAUCGAAUGCUCCAUGGUUUGCAGAUAUAGUUAAUUACUUGGCUAGCAACAAGUUUCUAAGUCAUUGGAACAAGCAAGAUAGAUGCAAAUUCCUUGCUAAUGCCAAGCAUUAUUUUUGGGAUGACCCUUACCUUUUUAAGUAUUGUCCUGACCAGAUCAUUCGUCGUUGCAUUCCUGACUGGGAGUAACAAGAGAUCCUUAAGUUCUGCCAUGAGCAUGUUUAUGGUGGACACUUUAGUGCCAAGAAGACAACUGCUAAAGUAUUGCAGUGUGGUUUUUAUUGGCCAACUCUCUUUAAGGACGCUCACAUGCAUUGUACUAUCUGCACUCGUUGUCAACACCUAGGGAAAAUCACUAGGCGACACAUGAUGCCCUUACAGCCAAUUCUUCCUAUCGAAGUUUUUGAUGUUUGGGGCAUUGAUUUCAUGGGUCCUUUUUCUGGUUGUCAUGGUUUUUUGUACAUUCUGGUCUUAGUAGACUAUGUUUCUAAAUGGAUCGAGGCCAUUCCCACAUGGCACAACGACCAAGAAACUGUAGUAAAUUUUAUCAAAGAGUACAUAUUUGCCCGAUUUGGCGAUCCCCGUGCGAUCAUUAGUGAUGGGGGGAGCCAUUUCUGUAAUAAAGCUUUUCAAAAACUUGUCCAAAAGUAUGGAGUAACUCACAAGGUGGCCUUUGUGUAUCAUCCGCAAACCAAUGGCCAAGUUGAGGUUUCCAAUAGAGAGAUUAAAAAUAUUUUGCAAAACACAAUUGACCCUAAAAAGGUCGAUUGGUCUCUUAGAGUCAGUGAUGCAUUAUGGGCCUAUCGUACUGCUUUUAAAACUCCCAUAUGCAUGUCUCCCUUUCGCCUUGUCUUUGGAAAACCCUGUCACCUACCUGUAGAGCUUGAGCACCGGGCCUUCUAGGCAAUGACAAAGCUCAACUUUAAUCUCGACCAGGCAGGUAAGAGGAGAAAACUCCAGCUUUCUGAGCUUGAGGAACUUCGGAAUGAAGCUUAUGAUCUUUUUUAGUCUUAUAAGGCUAAAAUGAAAAAAACUGCAUGAUCGUCAGAUCUUACGUAGAGAUUUUUAAAUUGGGGACAAAGUUUUACUGUAUUACUCUCGUCUGCAUUUAUUUUCUGGUAAACUACAGUCUCGUUGGUCGAGUCCCUUUAUUGUGUAUGCAGUAACUCCUUAUGGUGUUAUUACUUGUUUAAACCCUACAGACAAUUGUGAAUUUCAAGUCAAUUGUCAACGUCUUAAGCAUUUCCAUGAAUUAAGGUCCCCUGAAGUUGAGGAAACUCUCUUAAAGGACCCUACCUAUUUAGACUAACCCCUGACCUACAGGUAUCCAGACCCUCUUUUACUCUAUUCUGUUGUCUCUUUUGAGAGGUGUGGUUGAAAGUGUCGGGGCCAUAGUCCACAAACUCUUACUGGCUAAGUAUAAUUGAUCCAGUGCACGUUUUUCUCUUGAGCGUCGCCACCAAACAGAACCUGUUUCCCGCUCUGUUUGGGGGUGGGGAAGACAUUUUCCAUCUUCUUUUAAGUCUUGAAUAUCUGACUUUAAAAGACUCUUUGUUGUAUCUUAGACAUCAGGAUCUCGCGCAUUCCACUCUAGCAUUUUAUUUCUCCAGUAUAUUUAUUUAGAGUAGCAUUUAUCUAGGGAGUGAGUCAUGUUUGUCUGUGUGUCUAGCUGAAGACGUUAAACUUAGCGCUCCUGGGAGGCAUCCUUGUGUAUCUUCUAAGCCCGAUCGUGCUUUAUUGGUCUUUUAUUUGAUGUCGGGUUUAGUGAUUUUUUGGCUGAUAAACUACACUUUUGAAUCUGUGUGUUAAUUUUGUUUGGGGGUGGGCGCAACCCACCACUCUCUGUUGCAGUUUGUUUUGUUAAAUAAUUAUUAAGGUUAAAAAUUUGAAUUUAGUUCAAUUUUUAGAAUUUUCAAUAAUUAUUGCUUGAUUUCAGAAUUUAUUUGACAUCUUACAUUAUCACAGAAUUUUCAAAAUUAAAUUUGAAUUAUUUCGUUCCUUUACGCAUUCUGGGGGUAAAACCAUUCACUCAUUCCAGUAGUAGGGGGAAGCGUAUCGGGGAAGUUACUGGUCUAACUAUACCUACGGGUGUUAUAGAAAAGUCACAAGUCACUUUCAUUUCCAAGUCAAACCAAGUCAACUUGGGUCAACAGAAGUCUUCUCCCCUUCCAGAACUCGACUCGAGAUCAGUUCAGUUCAUUUGGAACUCGACUCGAGUUCAUAACAGAUUCGAUUUCUCUCUCUUCGAUUCUCCCUCAUCUGUGGCCAAAUUCGAAAUUUCUUCUUGGGUUUUGUUCCUCUUUAAUUUCUCUUCAAUUCUCUCUUCGAAAUUUCUCUCGCGUUGUCGUUCGAGAACGCGACUAUUCUUAUCUCUUCGACGAUAAUCACUUUGGGAGUGGUUUUGUUGAGCGAAUUUACGCCAGAGGUUGUGAUGUGCUCCUUGGCUCGGAUUAUGAGCCAUUUGAUCCUCAAAUGGUUCGUCGAUUUUAUGAGUCAAUGGAGUUGACCAAUGAGGGUGUUUUCGUCAAUUGGGAUGCUUGUCAUCAUUUUCUGUUCUCGCCCGAGACCGUCUCUAUGGUCACGACCCUCGAGCUUGACGAGGCUUCUCUCCAGCAAGAGGCUGCACUGGUGACCCCUGACGUCUUCAAAGCUGUUCUAGUCGAUGACCGGGCGGCUCAUCGGUACAGCAGCCCUAUCUCCAUCGGUUGGCUCCGAGUCAACCAAGGCUUGGUGGCUCACUGGUUGACCACCAAUGUCCUUGGGACGACAAUGACGAACAAGCUGUUCUCGGAGGGCAUCGAUAUCCUGCAGCUUUUCCAGGAGAACCUCCAUGGCUACUACAUGGUUCGUCACAUGUUCCAUACCAUCACCAACGCCCGUUCUACUUCUGCGCCUCUUCCCAGCCUGGUGAUGGGUAUUUUGUGCUACUAGGAGGCGCGUCUUCCUUCUGCUCUUUCUCUGGAGUCAGUUAUCCAUCUCGAGGUCUCCAACCCUGGACUGUGUGCCUGCCGACAGUCGUUGUGGGACCUUCAGGAGGAAGCGCCAAUUCACUAUAGACCCGGCGACCAGCGGGCAUUCGAGCAGAUCCAUACCAACGAGGAACGGUUCCAGCUUCUCUGGAGGGGUAUGGGAGAGAUCAUGGAUGCAGUUGAUGACAUCCAACGUUGUUUGGACCAAGGCCUGGCGCAGCCUCGUCAGCGACGUGGUUGAGAUUUUGGAUAGUCAACCAUUUUAUUUUAUUUUUCAUGUAUUUUGUUUUAGUUCUUUACAUUUUUGCAUUAAAUUUCAAUCCUUGUACUUUAUUACAAAAUAUUAAUGAAAUGGAUGAAAUUUUAUUUUUCGAAACUUGUCAUUUUCUGAAAUUUUUAGCCAUUCAUGGGUUUUAUUGCAAAAAUCUGGACUUGUGGAGUUAUUUUCAAAAUUUUCUGGUCCUAGGGACCUAAGUCCAAUUAUUUUAAAAGAAAGAGGUUAGGGUUUUGAUUUUUGGAAACCCUAAUGAUAUAGGCAAUUUUUUAAGUUGUAAUUGGGCUCAAACUCUUUUAUUUUUGCCUAUAAAUACCAAACCAAGGUUAGGAGACCGUCACUCAUAAAUCAGAAAACUCUUUAUUUUUCUGGAACCGUUUAAUCUUGAGUCGAGUUCCAUAUAGGCAUACCUGAUCUCGAGUCGAGUUCUGGUCUGGCAACAGUUUUUGCUUUGGUUUCUGUGCAAUUUUUCUCGGUUUUUGUGCUGGUUUUUGGUAUUUUUCUUUUUCUUUUGCAAUAACUGAUGUUCAGAAUGUGUUGUGGAUGCCUAGUGGCAUGAAGAUUAUUCCGGAGAUAGAUUUUUCUGGAAUUAUGAAUAGUCCUUAUGAAGUUUCUUUUCGGGAUGGGAUUUUUGACAAAGGUUGGGAAGGUUUUCUUUAUGAUCCUACUGUUGUUUAUUCCCCUUCUAUGGUAAGAGACUUUUACCUCAUGUUACCCUUUGUCGAUGCUCUUCCCUUUGAUGGUUUCCAAGUUCAUAUGCAUGGUUCCCUAGUGAUUUUUAAUGCUAUUGCCAUCUCUCUUGCCAUGGGUAAUCCUUUUGUCUUUUAGCCUGUCAUGCCUUAUCAUAAUUAUGUUCAUGAUAAUCGUGUUGAUAUCUUGGACAAUUAUCUUAAUCACUUUGGCCCUUGCACAUUUUCUUUCUAUCCCUAGGAUUACCCUAAUAUUGCACCUACUACUUGUCUUCCUGCUAAUGUUGCUAUUGUUGCUUUAUGGGUUAUGCGGAAUUUGUUGGGUGCUGAAAGGUUGGAUUAUGUCAAUGAUAGGACUAUGCAUGCAGUAUAUGGUAUUGUUAAGGAUUUUUAUGCUCUUGACUUAUCCACCUGGAUUUUAGAUGGUAUCCGGAAUGUGUUCCUAUUUGGUCAGGAUAAGCUUGUAUUCUCUACUGCUAUUUGUAAGAUUAUCCUUAAUAGCUAUCUUGAUUGGCGGGGAAGGUACAAUGAUUGGACUCACGUUAUAUCUAUGGAUCCAACUCAUCGAUAUAUUAAGAGAAGCCGCCUAUUCACUUGGGUACCUGACUCUGAGUAUGUUGAUUAUCCUAUCUUGCAUAGAGACGACGAGUUUAUGAAUGAUGGUGAGGGUCAUUGGGAUAUGAUAAAGGAUGCGUUAGUUGAUUGGCGUGAUAAGUUAGAUAGCCUUCCUAAGAGUCAAGUUUGGGAACUAGUUGUGUAAAGUAGGAUUUCCCUUUAUGUUGGGCCAGUCCUUUAUUUCUGCAUAUUUUAUUUCAGUUGUGUCUUAGUAUGGAAUUCCUUGUAAUCUGUAUAUAUGUGGAGAUAAUUUUGUUUGGCAGGAUUUUAUAAAGCGGUUUGAAUUUUUAGUACAUUCAUGGUAAUAUCUUUCUAUCUCUUUCCUAUGCUUAGUAUGAACCUUGAAGACAAGGCAAAUGUUUGUUUGGGGGUGGGGAAGUAUUACAAUCCUUUUUGCAAAGAUUUUCAAACUUCUUUUUCCAUAUUUGUGUAAAAAUUCAAAAAUUUUGAAAAACCAAAACAAUCUUUGUUACAAAGACUUUUCCAAAAGUUAGGAUAAGUACACCAUCAAUGAUGAAUAUAAUGGUUGAAUUUUAUCUUUUUCGAGUUUAAGGACAUUUAUUGCUUCACCAAGUAAUUGAGUCUUAUACUACAUUUCCAUGAGCAUAAGCAUGGCAUUCACUUGCAUUUAUGACAGAUUACAUGUGCAAAUACAACUACACCUUGAGAAACUUAAGGAAUAAGUGUGGAGACUUAAUCCAGUGAGCUUUUGAGACCCGUCUUUUUCUUGGAGAGAUAAUGAUCAAUCUGGAGUCAAAAGAGUCAACCUCUCAGUUUUGUCUAUUUUUAGUCCCUUAUUCAUUUUUAUAGUUAGCCUUGAGAUGACAUCAAGUGGGUGUAAUAUAAACUUGGGUUUUAUAGCUUAUUCAAGAUGUGAUCACCAUAUCAGUAUUUAGAAAUUAUACAAAGAUAUUAAGUUAAACCCUUUUACCUUAGCCUACCCCGAUGAUACUUUAUCCUUUAGGUUGACCGUUCUGAGCCUUUCUUGUUACUUAGCCUUUUUCCUGAGCCCAUUAUCCUUACCCCACUCCAUUGUGGGAAUAAUUACCCUUAGGAUGUGUAGGUCCUUUCACCCACUGUUUUUGGAACAUGAGGAUGAUUGUUUAUGUGGUUACAAUAAGAAGAAAGGAGAAAUACAAAGCAAUCUCCAAACUAGUGAGAUGAACCAAAUAUUGAAAACCAAAAAGUUUGAAGAAAUUCUUGAAAAAGCCAGAAUCUUCCAAAAACCAUUUCAAAUUCAAAAAGAAAGGAAGAUUCCAAAAUAUUGGCUAGAGCUUCAUUGAAAUUUUCCCCAAAGAAGAUGAGAAACACUUCUUUCCAAAAGAAAAUUUUCAAAAAUUUCUCCAUGUACAGUUAUUAUAAAUCACAAGUAUUGAAGACCCGAAUGUUCCAAAAAUGUUUCACAAAAGCCUUUUCCAUUUCUAAUCAUGUCCUAAGCCAAGUUACAACCUAUUACUGUCUUUUGUAAAUCUAAGCUGAUAUGGUAGGAUGUGGUGAAUAAGUGAGAAGGUGCUAAGGUGAAAAACCCGACAUCUCAAGCAAGGCUAAUUUUUUCAUUCUUUGAGACUAAGUUCAUUCCAUUACACCAGUUCGUUUUUAUUGAUAUAUGUGAGAUGUGUGUCCAUCUUCUUUUCUUACAUAGAGGUAAAAUGAUAAACACCAUCUCUAAGUGAUUCCUACUUUUUAGUGCAUGCCUGUGAGGUAGAAGUCAAAGCGACAUUUUCAAUGGUGACUUAAGACUCGUGGUAGUAUGGGUACAUGCCUGUCUUUGAUGCAUUUGGAAACGUUAUGCUUGGUUUAUAUUUUAUAUUUUAUUCAUGCAUUUGUAGUAUGUUAUCUCAUAUGAACGGUUUUGCAAUACUUAUCCUUAUCUUUGAUAUAACCAUUUCUGAGGGUAAAUGGUAGAACAUUCUGUUCUUUGGAUUAGUCAUUGUAGUAAGUUUGUGGGUAUCUUCUCUGAAAACCCGUCAGGAGACUAUAACUCCUCCACUUGGGAAAUCCCUGUGGUUGAAAGCCUUGAUGCAUAUGGUUAAUGCAAUCACUCUAGCUUUACUUCUCUUUUGAGUCCAUAAUUCUUUUCUUCUUACCUUUGUUUGAGGAUAAGCAAAGUGUUGUUUGAGGGUAUUUGAUAAGUCCUCAAAAGUGUAUAUUUAUCCCCCGAAUAACACAUUGUUUGUAUAACACUUAGCUUAUAUUAUUAUGUUAUAUCUAUUGAUUAGUGUUUUAUUUUCUAUUGUGUAGGUUUCAUGAGCCGAAAUGCGAAUAUUGUAUUAAAGCAAGCCAAAAGUCAAGAAAAACCACCAAAAAGGUGUUAUUUGCACAAGGGAAGGAGAAUCGAUAUUUGCACUCAUAGAUCUGUGAUGUAAGAUAUUUAACACACCUUACAAUCAAAAGAUAGAUUUAUAUUGAAUUUCCUUUUUGUGCCUGUAUAAAUUGGUUAUCAAAGUAGAUAAGUAACAAGCAAGGGUCGUAUCCACCUCAGAGGGGGAGAUCUUAGCUCGAACACAAUAGAAAACAAUUGUUAAGAAACACCAAGGGAAUCAAUAAUAAUUUGAGAUUGAUUCUAACUUCCUACAGACAAUAAUUAAAUAAACCCUAACUUAAGAAUAUGGUAGAGAUGAAAAGAAGAUCUAUGAUGACAAAGGGGGAAGAAUUCGUAUCCACAAACUAAAUCAUACAAACAUAAUAUGUUGUUCCUUCAUGUUCAAUCUAUAAUAAUUAAUUAGCCACCUCUCGGUUAUUCCAACUAAUCACUAAUACCUAUAAUAAUCAAGUAGUCACCUCUCAGCUAUUCUACUCAAUUAAAACGGGAUUCUCUUAUGCAUGCUAUUGAAUAUGUCUUAUUAAUCAAACCGUCACCUUUCAGCUAUUCAAUUUAAUUAACUCAACAUAUUAUUCAUAACUAAAUCAUCACCUCUCAACUAUUUGACUUAAUUACAAAAGGGUUCCAAUAAAAAAUAUCAACUUUAGAUAUGCAAUAAUCACUUCUCAGCUAUUUCACUACACAUCUUUAAUCAAUAUAAAUAAAACCAUUAAAGCUAGGCCUCCCUAAACCAUAACAAUAGUAUUUUAAUAACAUGGAUAACAAUAACAUGCAAAUAAUCAUACUUACCUCAUACUGCAGCUAGAAGUAAAUAAACAUUAAGUACUUUGAAUCACAAUGAACAUUAAGAACAAACAUGGUGCUUUUGCAUUAUCUAGAAUGCUUCAACCAUCCCCCUAUGGGAAUUUAGGUACUCAUCCUUGAUGAUGACACCAUGGAAUAAAUAAAUAAAUAACAAAACAUCAUAAUGGAAAAGUGAUUUGAUUUGAUUGAUAUGAAUUGAGUUUUAUACAAAAGAAGAAGAAGAUGAACUUGUCUCCUCAAUCUUCCAUUCAUAAAAAGCUACCUAAACCUUAGCUAUUACUUCUCUUAUAUAGAAAAUACAAAGUAGAAUACUUGCAUGCAAAGACUUUCAAAUUAGGUCAAAUUUGUGGCUGUUGAUGUUGGUCUUCUAGAGGCAUUAGGUCUUUAGCAAAACCUAAUUCUCUGGGCUUAAUUUGUAGCUUGGACCAAGACCUUCAGUUUGAUAGCUCAUGAGCCCAAAUCAGACUUCUGGAUCUCCUAAAUAGAAAUUCUGACUUGUGGGCUCCAAUAGGACCCGGUUUGGGUUGAGAAUUGGACCGCCCCACUUUGUCCUAAAGUCAAGUCAACAGAGCUGACCGUGGGGUGUCCUCAGCAGAUCUUGUGGGUGUAAAUAUCAAUUCUCUUUCCCAUGUGUAAUAACACAUUUUUGCUUGCUUUUCUUGACUUUUCGCGGGCUUUUACACAAUAUUCGCAUUUCGGCUCAUAAAAACUACACAAUAGACAAGAAAGCACUAAUCAAUAGAUAUAACACAAUAAUAUAAACCAAGUGCUAUACAAACAAGGUGUUAUUCGGGGGAUAAAUAUACACAUUUGAUGACUGAUCAAUCUGCUGAGGGCACCCCACGGCUGGUCCUGUUGACUUGACUUUAUGUCAAAUUGGGCAGUCCAAUUCUCAGCCCAAACCGGGUCCUAUUGAAGCCCACAAAUCAGAAUUUCUAUUCUAGGCCUUUAUUUAAAGUCCAAUCUUAAAAAGGUUCUACAAAAAAAUCCAGAAAUCUGAUUUGGGCCCAUGAGUUGUCCAAUUGAAGGUCUUGGUCUAAGCUACAACUAAAGCCCAAGAUAAUUAAGUUUUGCUGAAGACCUAACGCCUUUACAAGACCAACAGCAGCAGCCACGAAUUUGACCUAAUUUGGAAGUCUUUGUAUGCAAGUAUUAUGCUUUGUAUUGUCUAUGUAAGCUUUGUAUUGUCUAUGUAAGUGAAGUAGUAGCUAGGGUUUAUGAAGUUAAUACAGUUUAUGUUUAAGAAGUCAAUGUUUGUAUUGAACUCAAUUCUUAUCAAUAUCAAUCCAUUACUUUUCAUUAUGAUUUUUGUUAUUUAAUUAUUUAUUCCAUAGUGUCAUCAUCAAGGAUGGGUAGCUAAAUCUCCUUAGGGGGAUGGUUGAAGCACUCUAAAUGAUGCAAAAACACCAUGUUUGUUCUUAAUAUUCAUUGUGAUUCAAAGUUCUUAAUUCUUAUUUACUUUUAAUUCGCGAUAUGAAGUAAGUAUGAUUAUUUUCAUGUUAUUGUUAUCCAUGUUUUUAAAAUACUAUUGUUAGAGUAUAGGGAGACCUAGGUAUAAUGGUUGUAUUUAUAUUGACUGGAGAUAUGUGAUGGAAUAGUUGUAACACCCAUGAGUUGGUGUUAGUCCCACAUUGCCAAGAAAGUGGUUGUAUUGGUAGUAUAUAGAGCUUAACCAUACUCUAACUAAUGUCAAGGCCUUUUGGGGUGAACCACAUGGGUAGGCCCUGAUCCAAAACCCUCUACUGCUGGAUAUGCGCAGUGACUAAAGAGAGACAAUAUUGACAUUAGCGAGCGGUAUGGUGCUCGACGCACCGGGAUGAGCGAGGACGAAAUCCCGGGGCGUUACAGUUGGUAUCAAAGCCGACGACGGGUCGCCUGUUGCAGGUGGGAAAGUACGCUGGAAAGGCCCAGGGAGCGCCAGGUACUUGUCUCACUUGGCAGGGAACGUCGGAGAUUUUGGGACUGUACUGAGUAUACUGCAGAGCCGAGGACGGCUCUAUUUCUAAGGUGGUGAGAUUGUAACACCCAUGAGUUGGUGUUAGUCCCACAUUGCCAAGAAAGUGGUUGUAUUGGUAGUAUAUAGAGCUUAACCAUACUCUAACUAAUGUCAAGGCCUUUUGGGGUGAACCACAUGGGUGGGCCCUGAUCCAAAACCCUCUACUGCUGGAUAUCCGCAGUGACUAAAGAGGGACAAUAUUGACAUUAGCGAGCGGUAUGGUGCUCGACGCACCGGGAUGAGCGAGGACGAAAUCCUGGGGCGUUACAGUUGGUAUCAAAGCCGACGACGGGUCGCCUGUUGCAGGUGGGAAAGUACGCUGGAAAGGCGCAGGGAGCGCCAGGUACUUGUCUCACUUGGCAGGGAACGUCGGAGAUUUUGGGACUGUACUGAGUAUACUGCAGAGCCGAGGACGGCUCUAUUUCUAAGGUGGUGAGAUUGUAAGACCCAUGAGUUGGUGUUAGUCCCACAUUGCCAAGAAAGUGGUUGUAUUGGUAGUAUAUAGAGCUUAACCAUACUCUAACUAAUGUCAAGGCCUUUUGGGGUGAACCACAUGGGUGGGCCCUGAUCCAAAACCCUCUACUGCUGGAUAUCCGCAGUGACUAAAGAGGGACAAUAUUGACAUUAGCGAGCGGUAUGGUGCUCGACGCACCGAGAUGAGCGAGGACGAAAUCCCGGGGCGUUACAAUAGCUGAGAGGUGACUAUCAUAUAUCUACAGUUUAUAUCUUUUAUUGGAACCUUUUUGUAAUUAAAUUGGUAUCCGAGAGGUGAUGGAUUAUUUAUGAAAAUUAAUAUGUUGAAUUAAUUAGAUUGAAUAGCUGAGAGGUGACGGUUUGAUUAAUGAUACAUAUUCAAUAGCAUGCAUAAGAGAAUCUCGUUUAAUUGAGUGGAAUAGCUGAGAGGUGACUACUUGAUUAUUAUAGGUAUUGAUGAUUAAUUGGAAUAGUUGAGAGGUGACUAAUUAAUUGUUAUAGAUUGAACAUGAAAGAAUAACAUGUUAUGUUUGCAUGAUUUGGUUUGUGGAUACCAACUCUUCUCCCUAUGUCAUUAUAAGAUCUUCUUUUCAUCUCUACCAUCUUCUUUAGUUAGUUUAAUUAUAGUUUAUUAUUAUUGCAUGUAGGAAGUAGAAUCAAUCUCUAUCUUAUUUGUUGAUUCUUUGGUGUGUCUUAACCAUUGUUUUCUAUUGUGUUCGAGCCCUUUGAGGUGGGUACGACCCUUGUUUGUUACUUGUCUACUUUGAUAAUCAAUAUAUAAUAAGGCACAAGAAUGAACUUCAUUAUAAAUCAUAUUUUUUGAUAGUAGAUACACUUUUGUCAUCUAUCAAUGACCCAAACCCGACCUAUGUCCAGCCCUACAAACAGUCACUAGACUGAUCCAAGACUGAAAUUACAGAAAUAAUCUUAGCAGAAAAAUAUUUAAAUUACCCAAAAUACCCAUAUCUUUACUAAUUGUAAAGUGGCAUGCAGUUAUCUACAUUGAAAGCGGUCUGUAGUUAUCUACAGUGAAAGCCCAAUCAAUAUCCAAUAGAAUAUGGACACGUACCGUACCUUUGGUUUGACUCCAAAAAUUCAGAAUUUCUGUUUUCCAAAUUCAUACCAAAAAAAAAAAAAACCAUUAAUAUGUCAGUUACCAUGUGUAUUAUAGAACUACCUAAUCCAUCGCUUCAAAUUCUAUCAUCUGCACCCACUCACUUUUCUUAUAUAACCCUAGCUACUUGCACACAUAUACGUGCACGUUUACAUAGUCUUCGUAAAAUUACACAAGUCAUUAUAAUACCCAUAUUACAAAGAUAUUAUGUUUCUUUUAUAAAAAUAUUAAAUUUAAAAUGUUGCAAUGUAAGAGCAAGCGCAUACAUCUCUACUACUUUGUAAACGCGCCCCCACUUCAAGGUGGUUUGCGUGACCUUAGUUGGCAGCCUAUUAUAUAAACACGUGUAUUUUUAUUACCAAAUUCCAACUUUAUCUUUAACAAAGAAAAAAAAAAUACUUUAAGAUAAUUUUUAAAGUGGGUCCACCUGACUUUUUAACAAGCAAAAAUACUUAAUUACGUAGGGUCUAUUAAAAUAUUAAAACUAAAAUAAUUUAAUUAAUUAUUUGUGGGACCGCUACAUUUUAACUAACUUAAUAUUUAUGUUUAUCUUUUUUAAUAACUCAGGAGGAGAGGUUUUUUCCUGAUGCCAAACUUUUACCAAAAACAUCCAUUUCCCUUUCACUAAAAUCAAAUAUAUCUUCUCUAAUAUAAAAGGGUUAUUAAGUAAUUUCAAUAUAAAUAAUUAAACUAUCAAGUAGUUACCUACAAAUUAAGAAACUAAUAUUCCUUUUACCAAAAAACAAGGAAACUAAAUAUGAUACAUGUCUAACAGACGUGCAUUCACUUAGUGGACCUUAAUUUGGCAUAUAUACAAUUUGAAUCUUAAUUUUUGGUUGGGCUGUCUUUAACGUUUUGGGUUGGACUUAACGAAUGAUAAACAAACUUGGGAAAAUUGGCGAUAACCCCCCACAUUAUGGUCACUCUUGGCAAAAACCCCUUAAUUCUGCCAUUUUUGGCGUAAACCCCUCAACCCCCAAAACUAUACCAUGUAUUACCCAGUUUACCCCUGACUUAAAUUAUUUGUCUAAACCCCCAAAUUUGAAUUGACAAAGUUAACAAACUCCGAGUAACUCCGUUAACCGAACAUGUAGUUUUUUUUUGAAAAAAAUCAGUUCAUGAACUAAUCAACGUUGCUCUCCACCCAAUUUGCAAGAAAUGUGAGCAAUCUGCACUACCAAUGUUUUCUAUUCCUCAUCACCCCCAACAACAUCAUCAUCUUUUUCACCCUUUCUCUUCACCUUUAUUUCCAAAACACCCUUAAUCCCUAAACUUUUCUUUUCUUCCCCACCACCACCAAACAUUCUAAACCCACCAUAUCUUCUUUUCUCCAUCACCAUUCACCAACACACAUCACAAUGACUAGCAAAUUAAACAACAAUGAGCAACACACAUCACCAAGGAGCAACAAAUUAAACACAUCACCAACACACAUCUCUUCUUUCUCUUCUUAUUGGUUUCUUCUCUUCACCAAACAAAAGCCAACAAAUUAAACAACAACGAGCAGCAAAUUCACCCCACUACUCUUCUCUUUCUUCGUCUAUCUCAACAACAACAACAACAACAAUAAUAUUCACCCCACAAUUUUCAGGCUCAAUUUACUUACAAUCUUAUCCAAAUUCUUCAUCUCCACUUGUUAGGUGUAUUUAUCUUCGAUUUGUUUAUAAAGAUUAGAAUUUUGUUGUCAAUUUUGACAAUUCCAAAUAAGGCUAUCACUAUUUAGUGUAAGAUUAAGAAAAAGAAGAAGAAACACAUUAAGAAUUUGGGGGUUUUCAAAUUGAUUUUCUAUGUGAAAGGCAAAUAUAAAUAUAGAUUCUGUUAAUUGUAGUCAACUUCUGUUAAGUUAUAUUUGGGGGUUUAGACAAAUAAUUUAAACCAGGGGUAAACUGGGUAAUACAUGGUAUAGUUUUGGGGGUUGGGGGGUUUACGCCAAAAAUAGCAGAAUUAAGAGGUUUUUGCCAAAAGUGACCAUAAUGUGGGAGGUUAUCGCCAAUUUUCCCAACAAACUUAAAGUCUUAAACCAUUCUCUCUGACUCGUUGUAGUGUAGUCUGUACCAAUCUUAUAUUCACGUCUAAAGGACGUGCAUUUCACAUAGUGAAAAUAGUUUCUAUGUCCUCGUUAUCAGUAAAUACCUUGCCGAUGUCGAAGGAGGCAUGCUUCAUGCCGGUAUGCACUCAUAUUUAUGAUGUCAAAAAUUCUACUGUAUCACAUUCCAGAAACUUCUAUGGAUAGAAUUUCAUUUAUCAUACACUCAAAAUACAGGUAGAGGGUCCUUAUAUUACCCCAAAGUUCCUAACUUACUUGCCAAAAAAAACAGAAAAUAAUGUAAAAAUUAAUCCAAUGGUACCAUUCUCUCCUUAAAUACUGUAUUAUUAAUUUAUUAUUACAACAAAAUGCAUCUAGACAAAAAUUAAAUUUUGGACACGUGUACGGUGAAAAGAAGACACUCUCUCUCUUCACCUGCUCUAUAAAUAAAAGUCAUGGACUCUACCUAUACACUCGUACCAAAGAUUUUAAUCUUAUCUUCUUCUUCUUUGUUAUCAACACUUUUUCUUCUUCAAUCAUUUAGAGGGGAAAAAAUGUCUUGCUCCAAUGGAAACUGUAGUUGUGGUUCUGACUGCAAGUGUGGCAGUGGAUGCGGGUAAAUUUUUCUCUUGUCUUCUUGCAGAUUCUGUCCUUUUUUUAUAAUCUUUUAGACCAAAAUCAUGUAAACCUUAACAUUUCUGGAUAAUGAUCCCAAGUAAAAAAGUGUGUAAACUAAUUUAAACACCUUUUUGGAUUCACAAUCAUGGAUGUCUUUCCCAACAAAAAAACUAUUUUUUGAUGGUGUUUUUACAUAUAAAAAUCAAAUCAGGUCUAAUUUUGAUAGGGAUUUGCUCCCUUUUUGGUUGAUGUGGUAUAUAUGAUUGUUUGUAGGUUGUAUUGUUUUGUUUUGCUCUAAUUUGAUGUGGUUGAUUGUAGAUGCAACAAGUACCCAGACUUGGCUGAGGGUACCACAACAUCUCAGACUUUUAUCCUUGGUGUUGCUCCAGCAGGAAAGGCGUAUGUCCCCACCUAUCACUAAGCCAUCUUUCAAAUUUAACAACAAAUAUAUCAAUAUUUAUUUAUUUAUUUAUUUUUCUUUUUGUUGUUUAUGAAAUUGCAGAUUCUUUGAGGGAUCUGAGAUGGGAGUAGGAGCUGAAGGUGGAUGCAAGUGUGGAUCCAACUGUACCUGUGACCCUUGCAACUGUUAAUGAAGUAGAGAUGUGAUGUGAUCUCAGC